This 83272-nucleotide long non-coding RNA is filed under the name Solanum tuberosum (potato). RNAcentral's name for it is "long non-coding RNA (STUB_LNC005269)". The stretch from base 74650 to 74697 matches the Rfam family "MIR8032 microRNA precursor family". The record is from RNAcentral. Lineage: Eukaryota; Viridiplantae; Streptophyta; Magnoliopsida; Solanales; Solanaceae.
CUUUUUUUUUUUUUGGGUGAUUUACUGUGCAGGUUAGUGAAUGUGUUUUUUUUUUUUUUGGAAAAAAAAUGAGAUAAUGCGUAUGGAGUUUAAUUUAUGUUUUUUUGGGUAAAUAGAGAUGAAAUUGAAUUCAAAUCGGAAAUUUCCUUGAAUCUAAUACUUAAUUGUCUAGUUAUUUUUUCUUGCUUAUUAUGUCUUAUUUGUUUCUAAUAGUAUUUGUAGUAUUUAUUGUGAAAUUAUGAGAAAUUAAUUAAAUAAAAAAUUUCUAUACUCAAUUUAUUCUAAUUUAUUAGAAGAGGAAUUAUUAUUAUUUUCCUUUAUUGUUUGUCAAUAUCUGAGUAUAUUUUUGUCUGAUUUCUCCUAAAAUUUUAUUUAUUUGGUAGAAUUAAAGAUUGAAUGAUUAUAAAAUGUUAACUCCGUAGAUAAUUUUUUUGAACGUUUCAUUAAUUUAAUUUGUUGACAUAUUAAUUUAUUUCUUUUCUAGACUGGUGCUUCUUUGGAAUUACUUUUACGGAGAUUUAAUGAUCAAGAAUUGCAAGCUCGUUGGCGAACUCUCCUAUGUAGCCUAGAUGAGAAAGAAAUACGCAUGCAAAAUACAUUAGUCCCUCUUGUUCGCGAUGGGGCCGACACAUUAGUUCCUCUUGUUCGCGAUGAGGCUGACACAUUUGUCUCUCUUAUUCAUGAUGAGGCUAAUACAUUAGUCCCUCUUGUUCGUGAUGGGGCAGAUACAUUAGUCCCUCUUGUUCGCGAUGGGGCAGAUACAUUAGUCCCUCUUGUUCAUGAUGGGGCCGAUACAUUUGUCUCUCUUGUUCGCGAUGGGGCCGAUACAUUUGUCCCUCUUGUUCGCGAUGGGGCCGACACAUUAGUCCCUCUUGUUCGCGAUGGAGCCGACACAUUAGUCCCUCUUAUUCGCGAUGAGGCUGACACAUUAGUCCCUCUUGUUCGCGAUGGGGCAGAUACAUUAGUCCCUCUUGUUCGCGAUGGGGCUGACACAUUUGUCCCUCUUGUUUGUGAUGGGGCUGAUACAUUAGUCCCUCUUGUUCGCAAUGGGGCGGAUAGAAUGGAUACAUCAGGUUAUGAUAUAUCGACUACUAUCAUCUCAUCAUCCAGCAUGAGAGAUCAAAUCUCACGUUGUAUUGAUGAUGAGUUAUCAUUGCCUUUUAUGGGACUUGAUGAAAAUGAUGAGACGUUUGAUGUGAGCUCAUUCUUGUUGGAUACUCCUUAUGAGGAGAGUGACAUGAUUGAUAAGAAUAAGGAUGUAUCUGAAAUUCCAAAAGCCCCAGAUCAAGAGGUUUAUAUUCCUGAUGGUGCUUGUUCUAGAGAGUUGAGUGACAAGUAUGUUGAUCCUGCUAAUCCUGAAAUGCGUGAUGGAGUUAUUUGUUGCACUCUAAACACCGAGGUCCUAGAGGUUCCUCAAAAUGACAACGUUUUUCUUUUGCAUUGAUAACAUCAAUGUUUCUCGUGAGUUGUGCCCUAUUCCUGGAAGAGGUGUUGAUAAAUAGAGCAAGACCUUGCUUAUAAGGGAAAUGCUAUGGAUUUCGAUAUAGUCCUAGAGGAAAUUAUAGUAUUUUGCUGAUCCCUCAAGCUCCAAUGCCAAUUCAAUAUGACGUGGGGUCAUAUUGAAUUGACAUUGGAGUUCGGGGGUUUUGCAAAACACCAUAAUUGCCUUCGAGGCCAGGUCGAAAUCCCAUAACUUCGAUGCCUAUUUAGUAUGCAAGAGCAGUCAAGGAAGCUAGAGGAUGUUAAUAGGAAUUUAUGAAGAGAUAUAAGGUAGAAACUGAAUUCCUAAAAAAUCUAUGGUUUUUAGUAUGGAAAUGUUACUUAUCUUUUAAUGUUUAAUGUAAUGUUACUUUCUUAUAAAGAUCAAGUGAGUAUGAAAAUGUUUUAAUUUCUUAGUUUCGUGAAAUGAAUUUUAUAUAAGUGAUAUCAAUCCAUUGUUAUUAUCUUAUUUUCUUCAUGUUUGUGAGUUUAUCGUGAUACGAUGUCUACUUUAUGUCCAAUUUUCAUGUUCUUUAUGAAUCUUUUAGUUCUAUCAUAGAGUAAUGCGGUGCCAAAAUUUAAAUUAUAUGAAUUACAUUUUAAAUUUUAUAGGAUGUCGAAAUUAUGUGUUACACCGUUAGUAAAUAAGUUCCAUUGGAGUAGUGGGGGAUAUAUAAAAGAGAAAUGAAAUUAAUUUGGGUCUAAUUCAAUCCUAAAAUCUACUUUAUGAAGGGAGGAUUGCCCAAAUUGUAUAGAAAGUCUUUCCAACCCUAAAUGAAUGAAUGAUGUGGGACUUUUUUUUUUUUUUUUUUUGGUUAAAAAAGAGAUAUUUUAUUUAUAUAAAUUUCAAAAUAGUUACGUACUAUUUUUCAAAGGCAAGGCCGAAAAGUGGCCACUAGCACUAUCUUCCACAAAUUUUCACAUGUUUGAGCAUGGAAAAGAUUCAAGACUCAUACACGAGGGAACAAAGACAUGAUCAAGUUAAUAUAAUUAUGCUUACUCUAAUUAUAGAUUAAACUCUUAGAUGGAAUGAUGACACGAGUCAAAACAUACCAUCGCAUUGAGACUGCAAUGUAUAGUUGAAAAGGAAUGGAAGUAAAAGAAGUAAUUUCUCAAUUAAGAUAGGUACAUUAUAUGUUUGUCAUCUUGAAGGAUGAAAAUUUGUUACUUUAUCAUGUUGUAAUAAAAUUUAGUAGGUUUAAUAUAAGUUGAUUUCUUUGAAUGAGAGUUUUUAUUAUAAGAUAGGGGCAGCUUUUAGGCUCAUCUUUAAUUUUUCUACCACUUUCAAGAAAAUGUAGUUUUCUUCACUAUUUUCUUUUUUUUUAUAGCUGGACUUUUUUUUUGUGGUUAAAACAGAGAUAUUUUAUUUAUAUAUAAUAUGCAUCAUUACACAAUCAGUGGCCUGAGAUAUUACAGACGUUUAGUUUGUCUACUACAUUACAGACAUCUAGAUUAGCUACUACAUAAUCAUUAGUACUAUCCGAUUGAAGAGGUGGCACUAAUACCUCAAAUCAAACAAAAGAUAAAACUAAUUUAAAAUUCUACUCCGAAAUUAUUAUUCUUACCCCAUCAUAUUAAUUGAUCGUAGUAUGGUUUCUUAAUUAUGAGCAUCCGGGGUUUGACUCUUACCUUUGAUGAUAGUAUGUGAAGUAUUCACUAAAGCGAUAGCCACUGUUCAAAAUUGAACUGUAUAAAAUUUGCUCGCAAGUUUAAGACGUUGUAUAUAUAUAUAUUCACUAAAGCGAUCCUAGUAUGGUUUCUUAAUUUAGUUUUUUUUUUAAAAAAAAUGAUAAUCUACUUUUUGGAGAAUUUUAAGAUUUUAAAUUAUGUUUUGAGAUUUAUUCAAUUAUAUAUAUAAACUCUAAAUUCAAGUUAAAAAUUUAAAUUUAAGCUUCAAAUUGCGUGGCCGGACGCAUACCUAAACUUCUCUUUAAAACUGUUUAAAAAAUAUUUGAUUUGACCUUCAAAUUACAUGUUCAAACUUGUCCUUAAACUUCUCUAAGAAAUGUUUGAUUUUUUUUUAUAAUAAAAGUACAUUUCUUAAUUACAUCUAUAACUCUACUUUUUAUAUCCUUUGAUUUAAUUUUGAAAGUGAGCCUAAAUAAGAAUAAAAAUUAUACAUAAUUAUCAGAAAUAAAAAACGAAAAUCAAUCACUUGUUGAACAUAUCUAGAAAAACUUUAAACUUCACAUUCUAUUUUGACCUUUGAAUUAUAAUUUAAUUAUGUUACCUAAGCACUUAAAUACAUAACAAAAUAUUUAUAUCAGAUAUUUUCGAUUUAAAUUUAAAUUGACAUCUAUUCCUAGCAGUCCAAAUCAUAUUAAUGAGAAUAUUAUCUUCUAUAAAGAGAAACACUUAAAUGUUCGUCCCUCCAAGCUAAUAUAAAUACACAUGCUUGUUAAGGUUAUUUUCACUCACAAAAUAAAAAAAAGUAUUUCCUCUCUUUUAUUCUAAAAAAAAUGGCUAAUUAUUUUGUUUUGUUUUGUUUUUUGAGUUCUAAAACAAUGGGAGUUCUUUCACCUGGUUACGUUCUUCAUGGACUUUUCAAGAGGACUUUAUGCUUAUCCACACUGUUAUGGUAACAAAAAAUAUAUAUUUCUUCUUUUUUUUUUCCACUUGUUUUGAUGAAUUGAGUUUUGAUGGUUUGUUUCUUUAAAAAUUUUAAUUAUUUUUUUCCAGUCAGAAUUUGAUUUUUGUGAUUUCUAUUUGAAGGAUUACUUAAUCUAUGUUACUAUUUUUUGCUUCAUUUGAAAUUCUGCGUCGAUAACAUUCCUUUUGAGCCAAGAUAUAUCGAAACAAUUUCUCUUCCCCUAUGAAGAUAGAGAUAAGGUCUAAAGCUACCAUGCCUAUUCAGUAUGACCCUAGUACACGUUAAUUAGAAGUAUGUUAAGAAAGUCAAUAAUGAACAAGACUACACUGAGUGAGUGUGCCGUUGUUAUUUGGAAGAUAUUGUUGAUUUACUAGUUCCUUUAUGGUAAUUAACACUAAUGGAGGAAAAAUUUACUUAUGAAUGUAAUCAUUUUUCUAUAAUAUAUCUAUCUUUUAACUUUUAUAUUAUACUUGCCUCUAUUAACACUUUGGCGUUUUUUUAAAUUAAUUUGUAGUAUUCAAUAGUUUAAUCUAAAACACUCUUUUAGUUGCUAAUAUUAUUAUUAGAUAUUUUUGUCUGAAAAUUGCUUGCUACUCACCAAACUAAACACGAGAAAUUAUUAUUGAGGAAAAUAGUUUUCAAGAAAAACGUUUUCUAUGGAAAAUGACUUUCGUCAUAACAUAGUUAAUGGCUCCUAACCUAAAUGUUGAUGAGUGAUGACUUGAUUGUAGUUAAAUAAGUCAUUACAUGUCCAACUAACAUCACUCUUAACUUUGGAUCUGAGCUCUUGCAUUGUUUUUCGAGGCUCUCUAAUGGUAUAGUCGAGGUACAAGCAAGGUUGUGCACUAUUAUCACAAGAAAUGAAUAGAAUUUAUAAGUUUUUUGGAACACUCUCAAAAAGGUGCUAACAAGUGCAUGUCUUGAGAGUCUUUUAAUAGCUUUUCAAGUGUUUUCAUAAAAUUAUUUUCGUUUACUAUGAACUCUACUGCAGAAGCUAUUUGUUGAUAAUAUAUAAAAAUGUCAUCUUUAUCCUAUUUGGACUUAAAAAAGAAGAAGAAAUCUUCUUUAUCAUAAAAAAAAUAAAUAUAUGCAAGUCUGACUCUCUAUUGAAAACACAAUAGUCAGCACCCACAUGUGAUCAUGCAGAAGACCUAGAUCCCCAAAAAGAAGCUUCAAUUCUAUUCAUUCUUUUUAUCUCUUGACAUAGUUAUAUAUAUUAAUAUUCUGCUUCGAUAAACUUAUUUUUUUAGUUGAGAGUCUAUCGAAAAUUACUUCUUGACUUCACAAAGAUAGUGAUUGGAUAUAUUGUUGUCAUAGUUGUUAUUGUACAGUUAUAUUAAUAGCCUAUUCAAUCCAAAAUGAGUUGGAUUGACUAUAUGAAUUCUUAUUAUUUCGUUUAACUUUGUCUCAAACUAAUAAUAUAUGAGAUUUCUUUAUAUAUUUUUAUCGAGGUAUAAAUCUCUAACAUGAAAAUACUUAAAGAACAAGAUUACAAUAUAUCUUAAUUAAUUAGUAUCGUCUACAACAACACAUACCUAGUAUCUCACAGUCGAUAAUAACAAGAUUACAAUAUAUCUUAAACAAUUCAUGAUGAAUUAAUUGUUUCAUGUUAUUACUCUCCACGUUCAUUUCUAGAUCCAAAAGCUCAUAAACCUAAACCUAGAAAAUGAAAAUGCAGUUUUUUCUUCAUUUUUUUUCAUUUUUCAUCUUCUUUGUAUUAUUAGCACAAUGCAAAACUCAUCCUAUUGAUAUACAAGGACUUCAAAAUCUCAAAAAUGGAAUAAACCCAAAAUCCAUUAAACCCGGUUCAUGCUUAAACUCAUGGAACUUCACUAUAGACCCAUGUGAUCACAUUUUCACCGACCGGUUCACCUGCGGUUUCCGCUGUGAUCUCAUCGUCUCCGGUUUUUAUCGAGUCACUGAAAUCAGCCUAGACCAAGCCGGUUACUCCGGUUCAUUGCCUAAUUCAUUCAACCUCCCUCAUCUCGAGAUUUUAGAUAUGUCGUAUAAUUCCCUCUCCGGUUCAAUCCCGAAUUCAUUUUCAAAUCUAACUCGUCUCCGGCGGCUCAGUCUUUCGAAAAACUCGUUCACCGGUCCAGUUACUUCUUCUAUCGGUUCUCUAUCCCGUUUACAGGAACUAUUUCUCGAUAACAACAAAUUCACCGGUUCAAUCCCGGAAAGUUUUAAUGGUUUAAUCAAUCUGAAUCGAUUCGAGCUUCAACAAAACAAUAUCUCCGGUGAGUUACCUAAUUUGAAUCAGCUCGGAAAUCUGAUCUUCUUAGAUUUAAGCAAUAACAGACUCGCCGGAAAUUUCUUCACGACAAAUUUACCUGAUUCGAUGAUUGAACUCUCAAUACGCAACAAUUAUUUACACGGCGAGUUUCCGUUGAACUUCGAAGAGUUGAAGUUCCUACAGGUGUUAGAUCUGAGCCAUAAUUUGUUUUCCGGGAUGAUUCCGGCGGUGUUAUUUCAUCACUCAUCUCUUCAGCAGCUUACACUUUCUUACAAUAACUUUACGUUUUUGCAAGUGCCGGAAGAUUUAGUGCUUCGAAGUAAGCUUAUAGCUAUUGAUCUGAGUUACAACAAUUUGCAUGGCUUAUUGCCGGCGUUUAUGGCAUCGAUGCCGGAGCUGUCGGCUCUGAAUUUGGAGCAUAACAAGUUUACCGGCGUGAUACCGAUACAGUUUGCAGUAAAAGUUGUGGCUCCGAGGAAUCAUACGGCGUCGUUUGAGAGGUUAUUGCUGGGUGGAAAUUAUUUGUUUGGGCCGAUUCCUGGGCCUUUAAUGGGCCUAAAGCCUGGUUCUGGAAAUAUUAGUUUGGUGGAUAACUGUUUGUAUAUGUGUCCAGAUUCGGUAUACAUUUGUCAUGGUGGGUAUCAGAAGUCUUUAUUGGAUUGUAAAAAGUUUGGGCCUAGGAUUCCUUGAGUUGUGUUAGGCCCAAAAUGGAAUCAUGUAAGCCCAUUUGUAUAUCUUUGACCAAUGUUUUUAGGACUUAGGUAUACUUUACAGCUUUAAUUAUAUAAAAAUAAUGGUGGUUUAUCUAUUAACAAUAAAGAACUAAAUGUUAAUUUUGUGGCCUUUUAUAUAAGGUAAAGAGGCUUGCAAGUUUUGUCUUUUGAAUUUUAAAGCUUGUAUGAGGUUUACUUCAUUGUGUUCCUCUUGUAGUAUCGAUGGAGGAUCAAAAAUUUACUCGACUCCAUAUAUUUGUAACAUAGGUAAUAAUAUUAUUGGAACUCAUUUGAAUAUAAUUAACUCGUUUACGUGCACCCUUGUGAAUCAAUCCAUUAAUACAGUUGGUGCUAAAAUAUGAAUUAAGGGUGUAAUUACUUUUCUACAUAUUAUUAAUAAUAAUAAUAGACUCCAAAUUACAAAAGAGAGGAUGCAAAAUGCGAAGAACCACUAAAGAUAAGUACUACUACAUAUUCUUCAAGAUAUUUUAGCAGUAGUAUUCAACUAGGAUUAGGGCACUACCUUUUUUAACGAUCUAUCAGUGUAGUUUGACUAGUCUAAAAUUUGAGAAAAAGGGUCAAGAAAUGGUCAUCACAUCAAGUGUUUAUUUUACUUUUUUGUUGAUUACACGUUUUCUCUUGUGACAUCUAAUAUACCAAGAACAAAAGCUUAUUUUUUCAUAAAAUCGAAACUUUUAUUUUAAUUUUGGAAUUAAGUAAUUACUAAUACUUUGUAUAGUACAAUGCUAAAUGAUGAAAUCAAAUUUAACUUGGACGUCUGGUUCACAAAAUUUAAUCUAAUAAACUAUACAUCACAUAUAAAAUUUUAGGAUGUAGAAAAGUUGUAGAAAAUACUCCUUUAAUUUACCUUGUUAUAUACCUUCAUUAAUUAAUAUUUUUCAUAUCGUCAAAUCAUAAAUCAUGGAACAGGAAUAGAACAAGGACAACUCUUCUUGUUGUAGAACAAACAGUGACAGCGUUUUUCAUGGCGAUGACUCUUUUCUUCAUGAGUGCAUUAACGUUCGCAUUAAUUUGCUAAAAUUUAUCACAUACUAACGUUCACAGGAUUCAUGGAAUGUACACAAGAACAUGAUUAAACUAUAACAAUAAACACGGUAUUUUAUUUAUUUUAUUUUAUUUCUCAUUUGGUGGCUGAAAUAGCUAUAGUUGAGCCGUGAGUGGUACAAAUUUUCUGUGUUGCGGAUUGCAAACGUAUCAUGCAUUUUCUUCUAGUAGAUAGAUUAUUGAUUUGUUAAUUGAUAUUUCUUGUGUUGAUUAUUGUUAAGCAUGCCUCAAGUCUAUUGCGCCUCGUAAGGCGCAUAGGUACCCGCGCUUUGUUAUCCUAAUUUAAGUGUUAUCCACUCUACAGUUUAAAUGUUAUCCUUUUGAUUUUAAACUUAUUUUUGUUGUCCUUUUAGAAUUUUUGAUCAACUUUUUUGCUCUUUGGCUCCGGACUCGUUAGUUGUACAAUCUAUUUGAGGAGUAUUAAGUUAUAUACAAUUAACACAUGAAAAUUCAUGGCAUUAGUAAUGCAAGAGUUUUAAAAUUUAAUACAUUCAUUAACAUAAUUAAAGAAACAAUUGUCCCUCAAAUCAUUUUCACAACCAUUCUACACCCUCCGUCCCAUUCUAGUUAACCGUUUGUUUUAACACGUAUAUUAAGAAAUCAUAAAUAAGAAGAUAAGUAAACUAAUUCACCCCUUAGAAAAAUAUUGGAAAUUUUACAAACAAAUAUAAACAUUUUCAAAAAGAAUUAAUUGUAAGGGUAUUAUAGGAAAAGUUUAAUUAAUGUUUCUUGAUUUAGUAAGGUGGACAACUAAAUGAGACAACUAUUUUUAAUAAGAUAAUCAACUAUUGUGAGACAACUAUUUUUAAUAAGAUAAUCAACUAUUAUGAGACAAAGAAAAUAUCAUAUUUGUGGAAGAUAUUUUUAUAAACAAAUAUUUUGUAGAUGAGCUACAAUAAUUUGCAUGACUUAUUGCCUGCAUUCAUGGCGUCGAUGCCCCAACUCUGAAUUUAGAGCAUAACAUGUUUUCCGGCAUGAUAAUUAUGUCUUAUUUGCUUGGGCCUAUUCUUGGGCCUCUACUGGCCUAAAACCCGAUUCUGAUGAUGUUAAUUAAGUGGAUGUGUGUUUGUAUAUCAGUAUAGAUGUGUAUAUUGUCGGGUUGAUUCGGGUUUUUCAAAUAUCAAACCAAAUCAUUUGUGUGGUGUGACAAUUUGUUAUGAUUUAAUUAAAAGAACUUAAGCAAAAAAAUUAUUUAUCCAGAUAGUAAUAGUGGGAGCGAAACUAGAUUGGGGAUCUGAUUGAGCCUUUAUAUAUAAAAAUGAUAAUAUUAAUAACAUAAAUUAACUUGUCGUUUCAAAGAUACUUUGAAGUGGUAAUCGGGCUCCAAUGGUCUUACUACAACUUCAAACUACACCUUACAUUAGUUUGACCCAAUUGUCAUAAUUUUUGCGUUCUUUAUGUUAUAGUGGGAUCUAAUCCGAUAUAGCGAAACUAGACUGGAGAUCUGAUUGGGCCUUUAUAUAUAAAGAUGAUCAAAUUAAUUACAUUAAUUACCAAUGAUAAUAUCGACUAGUCCAAAAUUUGAGAAAAAGGGUCAAGAAAUUUUAGAAGUAAUUAUUUAGGGGCCGUUUGGCCAUAGAUUUCCCAAGUAAAACUUGGGAAAAAUUUGGCAAAUAUUGUUUGUCUAUACACUUUCUCAUUAUUUGGCAAAUUUUUUUGGCAAAUAACCCAAAUUCCCAAAUACUAGUUUUUUCUAGUAUUUGGGCCAAAUCUCAUUAUUUAGGAAAGUUUUAAAAAUUCAAAUUUAACACAAACUUUUAUCUUUUACAAAAACACUUUAUUUAUUAACACCAACCAACUCAAUCAAAUCUCCAUCUGCUAACUAACUCAAUUAAUAAUUUUUUCUAUUAUAAAGAGCAUACAUGUACAAGAGCUUUUAUACCCAUGCAUCUUUUUUAACGAUGCGACUAUUUACUGUAAUGAUGCUUUUUGAUUUUGUUGCGGAAGUCAUGAAUCUUGUUACGCGACAUUUCUAUUUUGCUAUGUAAUACAAAUUUAUGGUUAGUUUUGAUAGUUUUAAAAACUUAUGGGCAUAAGUCAUAUUUCUUAAAAAAUUGAAAUAUAUUUCCCAAAUACUAUGGCCAAACACAUGGUGAAAUUUCACCCAAAUCUUCACCCAAAUAAUAUUUGCCAAAUAUAUUUGGAAAUCUAUGGCCAAACGCUAGCUUAAUUUAAAGCUAAUAAGCAAAUCCUCUUUAUUUAUUUAUUCCAUAAAGCUACAAAAGUGAUUUUUUUUCUUCUUCUCAUUAAAAAUUUAAAUAAAUUUUAGAAAUAAUUGUUUAAUUUAAAGUUAAUAAGCAAAUCCUAUUUAUUUAUUUAUCCGUAAAUCUACUAAAAGUGAAAAUGAUCUAUAUAUAGUUUCUUUUAAUAUUAUUAAAAGAUCUUAUAUGAUUGCGAUUUUAUGUGAUUGCGCAAUCAGAUGAUAUGUUUCCGUAUAUAUAUAAUUCAGAAUAUUUGUAAUUAAAUGUAAAGAUAUGUUUCCUUAGUUAUAGAACUGGUACAACUUGUAUAUAACAUUGAGAUGUAUUAUCAAUAAAGACAUUCACUCGAUUAAUCUUAUUUUACAUGGUAUCAGAGCCAAAAAAAAAUUUGUUCAACAAAAGAAAGCAUACACGCAACAACUUAUUACAAACUAUUUUCACACGAUUGAUCAUUCAACUGAGACAUUAAUGAUGCCUAGUAACCUAAAUUAAUUAUUAUCUCGUAUGAUCAGUUUUACUAUUCAUCUAAAUAUGAGAUGUUUAUUCAUAUUUAAUGUAAUUUCUUAAAAGUGAAAAGAGUGUUGCAUGUCUUUUAUCAUGUGCUCAUAAGAUAUACUAUGUUAAUAUUUAUUCAAAUAUUUGCACUAUAAAAAUAAUUAUAUAUAUAUAUAUAUAUAUAUAUAUAUAUAUAUCUCGAAUACUUAGAUAAUUUAUUUUUUUGACGAAUCAUAUGUAUAUGUAAAAUGAAGAUUGUAGGAAGCUUGAAAUAACCUUUUUUUUGUUUGUUUUUGAAAAACUAUGAAAUGAUAAAAUACACUACAUUAAAUGUCAAUAACAGAAUAAGUAUAUUGCAGACCAACAACAAAUUUGCAGUUUUGAAAUUUUCAUUUUAAGCUUUUAUUUUUUAAACUAAUUAAAAAUCACUUUAUUCAUAAUUUUUGAAUUUUUUAUCAAAUAACUUACAAUUUUCAAGCAAAGCAAAUAGUGAACAACAAGUAAGAGCUGACAAGGUACUUUUGUUGAGUAAAAUUUGAUUUAGUUUAAUUGUGCAUGAAAUUUGUUUUAAAUUUUUUCUCAACUUUCAAUGUUGUUGUAGUAUAUAUUCGAAAGGAAAGCAUAGAAUAGAAAGAAAAAAAAUUCUUCAUCUAAAAAUUCUAUAAACUGUUUGUAUAGUUUUUUCUCUGUUUAAUAACACAUGUUCAAUGUUAACAUUUUUUUUUUCCGUUAUUUGCAGAUUAAUUGUCACUACUAUGGCCUGUAAUGAUCCAACUGCCAUUUCAAAGUAUAUCUUUCGUUUGUUUGACCUAAUUGUCGUAAUUCUUCCGUUCAUUUUCUGUUGUUUUGUGUGGCUUGGAUUGAUAUAUAACUACAUGUUUCAUACCCUUUUAUUAGCUUUCUCUAUAUAUUUAAUAUAACUGGGGAAGAUUUAGCAAUGACUAGGAGUCAAUUCGCUACAUUAUUUUGAUAUUUGCGACAUUAUUUUGCACUAUUAUUAUAACAUUCACAAAUGUUUAGUGAAAUGUGCGUAACAAGAUGCCAUGCAUAGAAAAAGAAAGUGGUUAAGAUACAAAAUAAUCGACCUAUUCUUGUUGCACAGAAUCAAAACUGGUUUGGACAAUAUAUAGUGAAUGAAUUCAUAAUUCUUUUAAUUACUAUUAAAAACUGUUCAUGGGAAGAUAAAAUGAGAAUCAACGCAAGUGUCGCUCAGUUUCGACUUCGUACAAUAAAUAUUACAUCAAAGAUAAAGUAAUUAAUAAUUAUAGGUUAUUUUUCUUUAUUUUUAUUAGUCAUGAUUAUUACUAAUAUUUUUCCUGUUUGAACUAAAUUAUGUCAUUGUGUCUGAUCAUAAUGAGAGAUCAUGUGUUACUGUGGUUGAACUAGAUUCUAUUAUGAUAAUUUUCUUUAUUUUUAAAAGUUAUUUAGAUUGUAUUUUACUAAACGUUUUGAAUAACUUUUACUUUAUUAACUAUAUUUAUUUUCAAAUGCAGAUUCAAAAAAAUGUGAUUACACUACUAAACAACAUACGAAAAACGAUAGCCCAAUUUGAUCCAAAUCAAUGAAAAAGUGACAUAGUCAAGUUCGACGCUUUUUAGCUCGAUAUUUUUCAAAAAGCGAAGGACAGUGUCGCAAAAAAGCGACGGACUACGUCCCUUUUUUACAAAAAAAUAUUUUCUUAAAUAAUACGACGCCGUCCAUCGUUUUUUUGUAAUUUUUUUUAUUUCCAAAAAGUGACGCGUUCGUCGUUUAUUUUCAAUAAUUUUUUUAAAUCUUGAAAAUCGACGAAAAAAGAGACGCCGUCUGUCGCUUUCAUUAAUUUCAUUUUUUAAAAUAUUUCAAAAGGCGACUUCAAAUUACACCUUUCGUUGGUUUAACCUAAUUAUAGUAAUUAUUGCGUUCAUUUUCUGAUGUUUUUUGUGGCUUGGAAUCAUAUAUAAAUACAGGCAGGUGCGGAGUCACCUUGUCCCCAGGGUGUCCAAUUGAACAACCUUCGUUGAAAAAUUAUGCGAUAUAUACACGUAAAAUUUUGACUUAUAUUGGAAUAGAUUAUAUUUUGGACAUCCUAAAAUAACAAAGUAACUCGUAGUGAAAAUGACUAGAGCUGUCGCAAAUUAUAUCACAAUAUUAUUAAAAAUAGAAUCUCUAUAAAUCAUCGAUUUUUUUUUUAAAAAAUUACUAUUCAAAGUUUGGACCCCCUAAAUAAAAUUUCUGGCUACGCCACUGAAUACAGGUUUCGUACCAUUUUGAUUAGUUUUCUCUAUAUAUUUAAUAUAACUGGGAAGCUUUAGCAACGACUAGGGGUCAAUUCAUUACGACACUUGCAUAAAAAGAUACACCUUGCUAUUUUGGUAUUUGCGACAUCAUUUUGCACUAUUAUUGUAACAUUCACAUAUGUUUAUUGGAAUGUGAUAGCAAAAUGUCCAUGCAUGAAAAAAAAAAGUUGGUUAAGGUACGGAAUAAUCCACCUAUUCUUGUUGCACACAAAACUAGUUUGGAAAGUAUAUAGUGAAUGAGUUGAUAAUUUUUUUUAAUACUAUUAAAAUAUGUUCAUGGGAAGAUAGAAUGAGGAUCAGUGCAAGUGUCGCACAGUUCAGACUUCGUACAACAGAGAUUACAUCUAGAAUUGAUUAUACUUCUUUUGCGCAUACUUUUCUAUGGUAUUUCAGUUGUUCCAUUGAUUUUGACAAUGAUUUGUUUUGCGAAAAAGACUUUUUGCUAUUUCAAUUAGCCACAAGAUACAAUUAGUUGUAUACUUGUGGUGAUUACGAAAGGAAAUCAUAUGAUUAGGUGGUUCAUGUUCCUCCUAUUAAUGUUCUGAUUUCUGAUUAUUGGGUAGAUGUUGAAAGGAUAGGUAAUGAGGUGGAGCGUGUUCCUUCUGCUGAUCUUUUGAGUUCUGAUUUUUGAAGAAAGAGUGUAAAUGUCAAAAAGAAUUUUAAGAUAUGAUCUAUUUUUAUUUUUUUACAACGAUAUUAUCAUAUUUUAUCAUUGUAAUAUUAACUGCGUUUUGAAUUAAUAAGUGAAGGUAAUUUCGAGAACGUUUGGCAUGUGGUCCUGCAAUUUUUGUAGACUUCUUGGAAUAACGAAACAUUCCACAAUGAUGGAAAUGUGGUAUCCAAGAACUGUAAUUGAAAAUUCGAUUUGGUAUUUUCCUCAACUUAUCACUAUUUUCAAAACUCAAAAAUAUUUAAAAGUAAAUGUAACAUGGUAAAUCAUAAUUAAAAAAUAGUGUUAUCAAGUGGGUCAAAUCAAAGGGACAUUUAUAAAAUUGAGCAAAAAAUUAAAGUAAAUGUAAUAUGACAAAACACAAUAAAAUUUAGUGUAAUCAAGUGUGCCAAAUUGGGGGGACAUCUAUAAAAUUUUGCGGACGAGUCAGAAAUUUAUAGAAGGAUCCAAAAACAAAAAAAAUUGUUAAUUUUAACACAGUGAAUGCUCAAUCUAAAUUAGUGACCUAAAUUCAAAAAUAAAGUGAAGGCCUAACUUUUAAUUAUUCUUUUAUAUAUGAGAUUCAGAGUUAAUUCUUUCUUUUUAAUAACAAUGUUUUAUACAAAUAAAUUAAAAUAUAUAGUAUAAUUUUAUUUUUUUGUUAAAAAAGGUUCAUAUUAAUUUUAUUAUUACUAAGAAAUCAUGCCAUUCGGAUUUGGAGAGUUGCCUUAUUUUUAAAGGCAUUAAGAUGCCCAUGUUUUAUCAUUAGCUUGAUUUAAAAUCAAAUUGAAAAAUCUUGUAGUUAGAAGCUAGGGUUUCUAUAAUUCUUUUUUUUUUGUGGUCGAUAAGAGUAGUUUCAUAUAUAAAAAAUUAUAAUUGAUGUGGGCCUAGAUUACUUUAAAGCUUAAAAUGUUACUCAGAAUAAUGUAUUAGGUUGAAAACGUUAUUGUUAGUAAAAUUUCUAAACUUAACUUCGUCAACCACAAUAUUUCACAUAACUGGAUUUUUUAAAACAAAAUAAACUCUAAAACGUUACUGAGAAAUAUGUUUAUACUAGUUUUGUAAAAAAAAAUUAAAACGUACUAUUUUGGGUAAUUGAUUUAAAUAAUGACUUAGUUUGGUAAAUAAUUCACAAAGACCCAGCAAUGUGUUUCAUGGAAAGCAGACGUCAAGACAUACGAAAUAUUCCAAGAACAAUUCCAUUCUCAGGAACAACAGUCCAAAUGCGUGAACACGAUGUCAACAUUUUCAAACGGUGAAUUCACAGAAAGUUAUUGUCGUCUUCUUCCUUCCCCUCGACAACAAUACAUUUGAUCAAGAUCGUCCAACCCACUCGAUUUGUUAAAGAAUGGUUGAUUUUCCGUACGAAUUUCAGCUUAUUCCUGGAGAAUUUUGAAUCUCAAAAGGGAAUUGGUCCCUUUCCUAUCCAAAAAUUUUCACCCUAAAAUGAAUCCUAUUUUCUUCUAUAAAUAGUCAUUUGUUCUUCAUUGUCUAGGAUUGACAUUUUUUCUUAACCGAGAUAUUAAGAGUAGUUUAAGGAAAUAGUUAAAAAAUACAAAUGAAAAUACAGCAGAAAAGGCUAAGAAAAAUUAGUUUCAGUCUGAAGAUCACUCUUCUAGCUCAUUCACAUCUCUCCCCAAGUUCGUUUGAGGUCGAGAUCCUUCCUGGGUCUAUUGCUUGUUGUUCGAGUUCGUGUUUGUGUGGUAGAAGUUGUUGUUCUCCAAGCUCGUUUGUCUCAGUUUCUACCCUACGAAAGUCAAUAUCCUUAUUUAUAUUUUUCGCUUUUCCUUUUGAAUGACGUGUGUUUGUUCUAAUUUCUGCUCAACUAGUUCUAUUUAGUAUUGUUGUGAAAUUGUUACAUGUUCUUGAUAUAGUGGUGAACAUAAAUUGAAUGACCAUUAAACAUUCUUAAUGUUGUUGGAUUCUUUCCUUUUGCUACUGUUAGUGAAUAUCUUUGUUAUAGCAGUCUUGUUAGGAUCUUUUGCUCAAGUCACUUUAAGUUUUACUCCUCUCAUCUGAUUCUUCACUUGGUUCGCUUGUGUAGUUAGAGUCUGGUGUUGGUUGUUUAUUGUUUAGUUUUCAAUUUUAGUAAACUUUGAGGGUUGGUCGUUAGACUUUAAAUGUUUGGAUUAAUGCAAUUUUCUACUUAUUGAAGUUUUAAUGUUGACUAGUAACACUAAUCUCUCAAGUGGUUUGGUUCGCUUUGGAGUUAUGUUUUCCUCAACAGUACAUGAGAUCCUUUACAUGUUAAAUGUUGUGGCUCAUUUUUUCUUCGUUAGUUGUUGGUUGUCAUCUCGCUUCUUUUUUAUCUAGUGUUGUGUUUUGGAUAUUUAGGUUAGCUCAAUCGUCUUAAUAAGUGUCUGGAAGUUUUGCCUACAUUUUGGUUAUUUUAAAAUGUCUCAGUCUCGCAUAUCGACAUGUUAGUAUGAUAGAGUCAGAGCUAUCAAAUGUUACCUUCUUGGUCAUCUCUAUGGUCUAUAUGGUUUGUUUGAACUAAAUAGCUUAGAUGGUAAAUUUGUGAGUUGAUUCUUGUGUAAGUUUUUCUUUUCUUUGGAUUCAAAUAUCUCAUUAUGAAGCUUGUAUUCUCUUUAGUGUGUAUAGCGUGAAAGAUUUCACAUGUUUGUUAGAAUAUAAAGGUAAAUUUGUCGGGUAUUAUUCUUUUCUGAUAUUUGGUCCAUGUUCUGCUGCCUCUUCUUUAUUUGCAGCACCUAUUUGACCAUUAUGUGUGUCAAACAUUGUUGGUUAUCUCUAAUAAAGAAGAAGUAAUGUGUUUGGUACAAUAAUUGCAUUAGAAUAUGAAUUUAUUGUUGUUCAUUGAUACAGUUUUAUGGUAAUAGCUUGCAAGCAUGUUCUAUUGUUACUGUUUUAUGAAGCUUUUUACUACUUUUGAUUUUUUUUGAGUUGUCAACUUAGCUAUUGUUUUAAGGAUUAAUGGCAUGUAUUUGUUGUUAUUUACACAUUUUGUUAUUUAACCAUUUGAUAGUGUCCAACUCUUAUCUUUUUUCCUAUUAAUAAGGUGUAUGACAAAGCUGCCACAUUGAUACUUAGUCUUAAAUGAUAUUUGCCUCUCUUAGCCCUUUCUGUAAACUUUAUUGUUUUUCCAAUAUAUCUCUAUGUGAUCUUCUUUGACUGGAUUACUUGUUAAUCUUUCUGAACAAAUGUGUAUAUUUCUAUAAUUUGGCAUCAUACUCUUUUCAUUAUUUAUUGCCAUUGGAUCGCAUUUUAACUCAUUUACCUUUCUUUCUUUGUGAUACACGGAAAUUCGCCUCGGGUCCUCAUGAACUUUUCUCCUAUCAUUGCAUCCACUAGUUGGGCCAUAAAUGUCCAAAUUCACUUGCUUGCCCAAGUCAGCCCUUAAUUACCAGCGAUGGAAUUGAAAGUACAGAUCCAAGAGUCGAAAUUGAAGCUGAUAUACAAGAAUAUACAAAAAUAUACACUAAAUGUAUAUGCUAUAUAUUGUGGCAGAUUUGGGCUAAAAGCCCAUCUCUUUUUUAGCUGUAUUUUGUUAUUUUGGGACUAAGCCCCCUUUGAUUUUUAUUUUUAUUAUUAUCAUUUUGUUAGUUUAGGACAGGUGGAUGAUGGGCCCAAGACCCAAAGUAAAAUCAAAUUCAGGAUUAGUCUAGGACAUGUAUUAAGCAUUGGGCCUUUGGUCUCAAAAUAAAAACUAGGCCCAAGUGCUGGCUCAAGCAGACAUAAAACCAGAUUGGGCCCAAACAUCUCUCCCUUUAUUAUCUCUACUUUAUAUUUGUUUAUGGGCAAACUACAUAAAUCCCUUUAGUUUAGAUCCUAAUUACUAAGAUUCCCAAUAGUUUCAAAUAUUACUUCAUCUACCAUAUUUGGUGCUUCGGAUACAUCAAUCUGAAUUCGCGAGAUACAUGUAUCCGUCGAAUUUUUAAAAAUCGAGAUACAUAUUUUAUUUGUUUAAAUUAAUUAGUUGUAACUUAUUUCCUUAAUUAGAGGAUUAAUUGAGAUACAAAUAUCUACCAUAUUUCGUGCUUAGGAUACAUGAGUCUGAAUCCGUGAAAUACAAGUAUUUGUCAAAUUUUAAAAUCGAGAUACAUAUUUUAUUUAUUUAAAUUAAUUAGUUGCAAUUAAUUUCCUUAAUUAGAGGAGUAAUUGAGAUACAUGUAUCAUCACUCGCAAGAUACAUGUAUCAUUACUCGCGAGAUACAUGUAUCCAUCGGUUUAAAAAGUCAAGAUACACCAUUUAUUACUUUGAAUUAAAGGAGUGUAACUUAUUUCCCUAAUUAAAUGAUUAAUUGAUGAAUAAUUAACAACUCAAACGGAUUUACAAAAUCCUUGCGUAUCAACUCUCACAAGUUUUCCUGAAAUAACAAAAUCAUAAACCAUGGUAAUUCUAUAAUUAUAAACUUCAUCUUCUUCAUCAAUUCCUUCAUUUGUAUCUUAAAGUUUCGGCUUGAAUGUUCGCAGAUGAAGACCCUGCAAUGAAAAAAAAACAUAAUUUGUAAAAGUUUAUAAAAUAAGACCCUGCAAUGAAAAAUGACCUAUGUUGUAAAAGUUUAUAAAAUCAAACUUUAUAGCAAUAUAAAUUUUUAUCUCAAAUACAUUAACAUGAUGUAAACCAAGAUACAUGACAAUAAUGAAAAAAUGUAGAAAUUUUGUUGAAGUUGAGGUAUGUUAUAGAUGGUGGUGUCGAGGUCCACUUUAUUGCAUUGAGGAAUUUGUAGAUUAGAGCUUACCUCUGUAUUGUGAAUUCAAUGAAGAGAACAUCUGCAAUGCGGCACACCUUUUUUUAUGGAACAAGAAGCACACUAAACAAUUUGAUUUCAAAUUUAAUGAGAAAAUAAGGAGUUUAAAUAAAGAAAUUUAAAUUUUAAGAUAAUUAUUCAAUAUCAUAUUUUAAGGGAUUUGUGUAUCUAAAUAAAAUCAUUGAAAAUAUAUGGUAUAAAUAUUAAAAGUGGUAUUAUGUGUAAUUUUCUUAAACUGGAGAUAAAGUAAGUAUAUAUGAUGAGAAAAUGGCCAAAUUCCCCCUCAAUCUAUAACCAAAUUCUCAACUACACACUUAUAUUUUUAUGAGAGUCCUAUUACCCCCCUUUGGACUAAUUUUAAAGCGAAAUAUAUACCACCCUAAAACUAGAGAACCACAUUCUUCGAAUGUGGUGUGCACACGCGCUACAACUGUCAAAUGCCAUAUAUUUUUUUAAAAAAGAAGUAAAUGUUGUUCUUCUUCUUCAUUGCCAACAUCAUCUUUACUCUUCUCUUCUCCAUAUUGUUGAGACAUGUUUUUAAUUCUUUUCACUGUAAACUCCCCUAAACCUUAUUUCCCUCCACCCCAUUUCUCCCUAGUCACCCCACCCCCAACCCUCACCCUCGUCUUCCAUAACCCACAAAUUAGAUCUCAAUCCAAGAUCCAUAUCAACACUUAUCAUCUCUUUUUCGGGUAAAAGAAAUCAACAAUAUUAUUUAUCAACAACAUCACCAUCACAACAACAAUUUUAUCAAGUCAUUUAGACCAACCCCUUCACCUCUCCCACCCAAAUUCUGCAAUUUUGGCACCAAUUUCAAGUUCGAAGUUCUUGCUAAUCGUCUUGGACUUAAGUACGACUACGCCCUUUUGAUUCCUUCUUUAAAUAGUGAAGGAUUUAUGCCUUUUGAACUUAAGGAAAUAAUUUGGAUUAUCAGGGUUGAGCAUAAUCGACCGGUGGUUGUUGCUCAAGUUUCUAAAAUCGUUAUUGGGUGUAGUUUGAAUUCUUCAUUGAACAAUAAUAGAGAUUAGAGAUAAGAUCUGAAAGUUGGUGAAUUUUAUUAGAGUGAAGAGAUUAAAGACGAUUUAAUUUUAUUCACUAUAUGAGUAAUAAUUUUAAUGCUUAUUUGGUGAUUUCAAUGGUGAUUUACAAUGUUAAGAAUUGUGAGUAAAUAGUGAGACAAAUAAUGAGAAAGUAUUAAAAGAUGGGUGAAGAGAUGGACUGCUAUGAUAGUGGACUAGUGGUAGUUCAACAAUGGUGAUGAAGAACAAGUACAAAUGGGGUGAUUUUUUUUGAGUAAUAAGAGAGAGGAGGGGCCGGGGGGGGGGGGGGGGGGGUAGAAAAAAUAAAAAAAAAGACAAAAAAAAACGAAAGACAAAAGUAAAAAAACUAUAUUUAAAAAAAGUCAUAAAUAUUUUUAUCAGUUUUUUCAACUUUCACAUGCCUUUAAGAGAGUGAACACACUCUCUGUGCCAUGUCAGCACUUAAGGGUGCAUUUAUACCACUUUAAAAUAGUUCAAGGGGGUAAUAGGACUCCUGUAAAAUAUAAGUGUGUAGUUGAGAAUUCGAUUAUAGGUUGAGGGUGUAUUUGACCAUUUUCUCUAUAUAUGAUAGUGAAGUAUGUCUUAUAACGUAGUUUUUCCUUUGUUUAUUUGUUAUUAUUUGCCAUCAAUUUUAAGGUUUGAAAAAAUCUAUUCCCCAAAGAUAACCAUUUUAUGUUAAUUAUUUAAAACUAAGUGAAUACUUAUUUUCUACUUAACUUUAGAAUAUUUAGAAUAUUUUACUUAAGUUUAUCCUUACAAUAUUUCCCUCAUACCUAAAAUGUUGCUAAGUCUUAAGUUUGUUUAUUUCUAAACUAAUCAAGCAUGCUUAUUUUCAAAUAAUUAGAAAACUAUUUUAAUUGCUAGAUAACCGUAAGUUAGCGGAUGUUUUAGGUGCCUUUGAAACCUUCCUAAAACAUUAAUAUGAACCCCAGAAUCUUUAAUAUUUUUAAUUGAUUUCUGUUUUAAUCUUUUGAAAAAUUAGUUUUUUUAAUUUCCCUUUAAAAAUUAAGUGGCGACUCUCCUAUUUUUAAUUAAAUAAAACAGAAUGGCGACUCCGUUGGGGAUUUGAACGGAUUCUAACCUUAAAAUAAACUUAUUUGGCUAUUUGUUUAAUUCCUUACUUGUUUCAAUUCUUGUAUUAUAAACUGUAGCAUUUCAUGACAUCUACUCUGCCAAAUGACAAAUAAUUUGCAUUAGAAAAAGGGUGGUUAUCCGCGGUCAUCCCUUCAGAAAAGCACCUUCUAAUUCUUUUGGAAUGAAAAACAAAUAGUUGGAUUGUGAUCAUCCAACAUCGUUUAUUAUCCUUCACCCCACAAUUUGUCCAACUCAGGUAAUCAAGUCUUGUCUAAAUCAAUUCUAGUCAACCUAGAGUAGAGCGAAAAUAAAUCUAAAUUUAAGCAUUAGCCUAAGACGACUUAAUACCCAAGGUGUAUUAAGUCUAUUAGUAAACAACCAAAAAAUAUGUCCAAGGUCCACGACCUAACGACAUAUCAUGUUAUUUGUCAUUUGAAACAUGUAUGUGUAGAAAUCUAAUUGUUACCUUUUGGGGAUGAGAAUCUUAACCGUGUUUUGUUUUGUAGGUAUGACUAAUCGUCUCAAAUUUGACAUGGUCGUAAGUGCACAGAAGAUGUUCAAAUUGUGGUAGUAUGAUGUCAAUGAACUUCCCAAAAGGGACCUCAACAACUACUCAUAGACAUGGUCGGUUGGCCCAAAUUGAUCGAAAUCCUUUCCGAGUAUUGAGAUAACAAGAAAAUGGUGUUCCGAGGCGAGACCAUCGGGGACCUCUUAGUGGACUUCGCCCCUGCGUCGGUUUCUCUUUGUGUAUUUGCACUUAUUUUCUCCUGCGUGGGUUUGCUUUUAUUAUAUUGUCAUACUUCUUUCAAAUGGCCCCUUCGAGGGCCUUUCCUUAAAUAUUUUUCCUUUAUUCCCGAUUUGCCCCUGUUUAUUUUUUAAAUUUGUUUUGGGAUAAUGAAAUGGUUUAAUCUACACAUACAUCUUUCAAAUAUGCUAGGUCUACCCUUGGCACAAAAGGGUCCCCUAUUGGUUUAGGACGUGUUCCAUUUGUGUGUUUUAACUGUUUAUGUGAUAUUGUUGCUUUGAAUGAGGACAUUCUAGCCCACCCUUUUUUAAAAAAAUUCUAAUAAUCUCCACAAAUGCAAAAUACAAGUCACUAUCCAACGUUCGACCAAAAUACUCUUCGAGUCUUGAGUUUCUCAGUCAAUAUUGAAUUUCACUAUCAAAUUCUAAAAUCUUACUCUAUCAUCUCAGGAAAGGUUAAAUUGCCGCUAGGAUGGACAGAAACCAGGAUGCUGAGGUUGAACUGACUAAGGAAAAAUUCAUGUCGAAAACUGCACCAGCUCAGUUAAGAGAUCAGGAAAGUUGAGAGGAAGUCCAUGGAGAUAGAUGUCACCACCGCAUUAGUGCUAGCCAAAAGUAGUGCUGCGAUGGACGUCCAAAUUGAGAUCACAAAAAGGAAAGUGGCUAUGUAUGACGAAAUAAUAGCAAUAACUCUGGGGAAGAGAAAAGACAUAGGCCCGAGGUUACAGAGAAAAACCCAAAAGGGAGAUUACUGAGCCAGCCAUUUGUUUAGGUCGACUCAAGGAAGGAGACUCUCCUAGGGAGAAAAACCCAAAAGGGAGAUUACUGAGCCAGCCCUUUAAAAAUCAUAUCUAUUAAAAUAUUAAUUAAAUAAAAAAAUCUUAAUUUUAAAGACUUGAUCCUUUUAGUAUAGUAUAGAUAUAUAGUAGAUAUAGAUUCAGAAUAAUUACUCUACUAAGUGAAAUUUUUUGAAAGAAAUUAUCAAAGCAGCAGCCAACAAGGAAUAUAUCCGCCAUCAAAAUCGAAAUUAUAAAUGGAUGAAUAGAAAAAAGAAAAUUAAACCAUUAAAACAAUUCAACUGAAAUUAUAUACCAAAAAUAACUAAGGAAUUGAGUUAUCAUUAGCAGGGUGUAUCUGCUUUUGUUCACCGCAGCAAAAAAUACGUCUCAUAAAUGUUGAUAGGCAUGGAAAGUCAUAUCGUACACAAACAAAGAGUAGCAUCCAACAAAAUAAUGCUCCACAUGGAAAAGUUAGUGAAUAUAUAAGAACUGCAUCAUUCACCUGAGGAACCCUACAAAUACGCAUUACCAUUAAAAUAAUAAACAUAAAGAUUCCAAAAAACGUAUAACAACACCCAAAUAAAAACACCACAAAAAAACGGUCAUCAUCAUAAUCAACAAUACUUGGAACACAACAUUCAACCAUUGCAACCUCCUCUUCCGCCAUUAAAUCGAUUCGUAAACAAGAUUAAUCGAUUCGUGAACAAACAACAAGAUAUGAAAGAUUUUUUUUUAUUUUUUUAUAACAAGCUAAAGGAGUUGUAGUCCUAUAAGGACUCCAACUGAUAGAUGGAUCCUCUAAUUUUAAUUUAUUACUUCUACUUUGAUUUGUUCUUAUCUAUAACACAAUAUAUAUUACAACUUAUCACUAUUUUCAAAAGACUUAAAAUGAAUUAUUGAUUAAAAGUAAAUGUAAUAUGGUAAAUCAUAAUAAUAGAAGUUACGGGAGCUCUAUAAAAUUCAGCAAAAAAUUAAAAGUAAAUGUAAUAUGGUAAAUCAAAAUAAAAAUAAAAUUACACUGAGAACUUAUAUAUUAACAAAAAAUAAAUGACAAUUAUAAUUAUUAUUAGUCCUAUAGAUGACAAUUAUAAAAUUUUCACAUUAUAAUCCCCCUAUUUACGUAGUAUAAUUUUCAAGGAACGAGGUUCAAUUUUGCACCCUUUGCCUCUAAUCCUGCUCACAUGCACACUUAAAUAUAAAAUAUAUACAUCUAAUUGUUAAUUACCAUCAAUUACAAAUCACAAUAUAUAGCUUUAAUUAUAGACGAUUGCUUAGGAGGUAGAUUGCAUAUUUUUAGCUUAGAAUAAUCUGAUUUAAUUAUAUUUAUUGCAUAUAGCUUUUCUUGUAGCCUUAUAAGGAAAUGAUUUCCUUCAUUCUAAAUAUAUAGAAAAUUAAGUUUUUUCCCUAACCUGUUUAUACUCGUAAGUUUAAGGAAAAAAAAACAUUUUUAGACCGUUUUAAAAUAAUUCCUACAUAUAUAUGGCAACAUUAAUUGUUGUUGUUGUGAAAUACGCAGCAAAAAAUGAUUCUUAGAAAGUGAAGUUUCACAAAAUUUUGAAUGUAUAUGAAAUGUAUACACAGUUGCAGUUAUGUAUAUACAAUUGAAAAUAUGUAUACAAACCUGGUUAUACAUAUGUUUGGAUGAAGACAAUAUCAUUUUUGACGUACACAAUAAUAAGUUAUAAUUGUAUAAAUCGCUUAAAUAAAUAAGCACAGUAGACUUUAUGUAUAAUAAAUAAAAGUUACCGUAUGAUAGUAAAUGAAUCAAAUUAUAAAAGUUAUACAUCAAUUAUAUGUGCAAUCUACUUCACGUAUACACAAAAUUGUGUGAUAAAUACGCAACUCUUUCUAUUUUAAAGGAGUAAAAAGUUGUAUGGUUAAACAUUGAUAAUCAAAAUUUAAUAGGCCGUCUAAAAAUGACUUUAUCAAUUUCUUCCCAAAAAUUCAAAUAGUGAGGUAAUAUAGAUGCUUCAAAACUCCAAUUUUAAAUCGAAGCCAUUAGUCAACACUUUGAACAGCAACAUUUCGUGAAAACCUUUAUUCAAUUAUAUUUAUCUCUUGUCAAUAUUAUUUUUUCUUUUAAAAAUAGAAGAAGAAAUAAUCAACUUUUGUUAUAUGUUUUAUUAAAAAAUAUACUAGCAUAGUUGAAAAUCAAUGCCGACAUCUCACGAUUGAUUAGUCAUCUUCCUCCAUAUUCUACUGCCACAUUAUGUAUUUAUUUAUUAAUUUCACAUAAAAAGUAAGGCAAAAAUCUAGCUCAAUCUUGUACGGAAAAAGUGUUAUUUGUCUUUUUGUGUGAGUUGUACCCACCUUUAGUAUUUUCUAUUUAAUAAAUAUAAUAAUUGUGAUUAAUAUAAUAUAAUAAAAGAUUUCUUGCAUUAUCUCCUUAAUUAAUUAACUUAUUGACCAAUUGUUCCUAAACCUCAACUGUUUCUUCCACUUAAAGAAAUAUUUUGACACCACAAGCUUGAAUACAUUAUGGUUGGUGGUGGAUGGAAGCAUGUUGAAAAGUAGAUUAUUUCAUCAAAAGUAAAUUAAUUUAGUCCAACAACGUAAGAUAACAAAUCAGUAAAAUCCCACAAGUGAGAUCUGAGACAGUAAAAUAUACGCAGACUUUAUCAUAAUCUCGUAGAGAUAGAUAGUCUAUUUCUGAAAUAAUCAAAUUAAAGCAAAAAUUAACAUAAAAUUCAAGACAGAUCGAAUACUUACAUGAAUAACUAAGUUAUUCAUAUAUAUAAUUAAUUCAUGCAUAAAAUAAUACAUAAAUUAUUUUACAACUAAUACGUUUUAGGAUUUAUUAUCCUUAAAUAAAUAAAUAAAUAGAUAAUUAAGGGGACUAUUGAACUGUGUGUACUGAAGGAGAGGAACAUCUUCGUACCCUACCAGGUGUUAAAACCAAUAAUAACAAUAAUUAUAUUCUACUUAGUACUAGUGAUUAACAAAAUAUUAAUAUAAUUAAAAGAUAUAACACAAAAGGAUCCUAUUAAUAUUUGUCGUUGAAUAUGUCAUGCAUGACAUAAUCACUUCAUUUAUAAAAAAAUAUUAUUUUACCCCAUUACUAGGAAGCAAAUAAGCUAGGAUCCACAUGGUGCUACAUGUUGUAAGUUAUCAAUAUUAUAUUUUGAGGAAUAUACAGCAAGAUGGGGAAAAUAUAAUUAAAUAAAGUUUUCUCAGAUUUCAUUUCCAUCUAAUUUAUUAACUCAUUUCAUUAAUAAUAAAGUAUUUUUUUUCAUAGCUAGGAAACCUAGUAUGAUUGCCUGAAAAUUAGAAGAAUAAUAUGGAACUUAAUAAUAGUUGAUGACUUAGCAAGUUCAAAAGUACUAUAUAUCGCCAUGUUAUUAUAUUAGAGUCCGGAGCCUAAAGGGCAAAAAAAAUUGUCAAAAAUUCCAAAAGGGCACAUCACUUUUUAUUUUAGCCAAAAGGGUAAAAUCGCUGCGUCCUCUGACAAAAUGACGAAAUAGCAGCGAUUUCGUCUAAAAAAUUUUUUUUUGUUUUUUUAAUUAAAAAUCGCUGCCACAGCAGCGAUUUUGUAAAAAAAAAGAAAUUUAAAUUAAAAAUCGCUGCGAUUUUGUAAUUUUUUUUUAAUUAAAGAUCGCUGCUUUUUCUUUUAAAAAACUAAAACGGCACAUCAAAAAAAAAANNNNNNNNNNNNNNNNNNNNNNNNNNNNNNNNNNNNNNNNNNNNNNNNNNNNNNNNNNNNNNNNNNNNNNNNNNNNNNNNNNNNNNNNNNNNNNNNNNNNNNNNNNNNNNNNNNNNNNNNNNNNNNNNNNNNNNNNNNNNNNNNNNNNNNNNNNNNNNNNNNNNNNNNNNNNNNNNNNNNNNNNNNNNNNNNNNNNNNNNNNNNNNNNNNNNNNNNNNNNNNNNNNNNNNNNNNNNNNNNNNNNNNNNNNNNNNNNNNNNNNNNNNNNNNNNNNNNNNNNNNNNNNNNNNNNNNNNNNNNNNNNNNNNNNNNNNNNNNNNNNNNNNNNNNNNNNNNNNNNNNNNNNNNNNNNNNNNNNNNNNNNNNNNNNNNNNNNNNNNNNNNNNNNNNNNNNNNNNNNNNNNNNNNNNNNNNNNNNNNNNNNNNCACAGCAAAUUUUUUUUGUUUUUUUACAAUGGCAGCGAUUUUUAAUAAUGAUAAUAAAAACAAAAUUUAACAAAAUCGCUGCUAUGGCAGCGAUUUUUAAUAAAAAAUAUAUUUUUAUUUUUUUUUACAAAAUCGCUACUGUGGCAGCGAUUUUUAAUUGAAAAAAAUAAAAAAAAAAAUUUAGUCGAAAUCACUGCUAUUUCAUCAUUUUGUCAGAGGAAAAUCGCUGCUGACGCAGCGAUUUUGCCCUUUUGGCUAGAAUAAAAAGUGAUGUGCCCUUUUAGAAUUUUUGACAAUUUUUUUUGCCCUUUAGGCUCCGGACUCUAUUAUAUUAUGUGUUUUGAAUCAAGUUCAAUUAAGUUUCACAAAAAGGCUUCACAUGGUAAUAAAAGUAUAUAUAUAUAUAUAUUAUAAGUAAACAUUUUAUUUUCAAAUAACAUGAAUGUUCUCAUAUAUAACCAAAUCAUUUUCAACUAAUAUUUUUUUUUUGGGUCAGAAGCUACGAACUAAUUUGUCACUAGAUUAGUUGUUGUUGAUAUAAAUUGAAAUAAUUCGUCCCUAAUAUGAUGUUAAUUAAUAGAAUUAACUACAAACUUUCUUAUUUAGCUAUAGAAUCAAAAACUCGUGUAAUAAAAAAUGGAAGAAGAGAAAGUACACUGCUAAAAAAAAUACUCCCUCUAUCCCAAUUUAUAUGACACAUUUCAGAUUUCGAGAUGCAAACAAGUCAACCUUUGACCGUAAAUUUUUCAUAUAUCUUUUAAAUAUUUUGAAUUAUCAAUUAUUGUGACUUAUAGUACUUUUUAUGUAGUUUACAAAUAUAUAAAUUUCAUUUUUUAAAAAUUGAAGAUUUCAUGAGCAAUUUCUCGGUCAAACUUAAACUGUUUGACUCUCGAAAAGCAAAAUGUGUCACAUAAAUUGGGACAGAGAGAGUAGCAAUUAAUGACGAAUGCAUCCUCCAGAACUGUCUAUUGUAUUUGCUAUUAAAAUAUGUUUUUAUCUCUUACAUAUAGUGUGUGUUUGAUACGAUGAAAGAAAUAUUCAUGUUGAAUUGAUUAAAAAUUUAAAAAUUAUAAGUUCUUAAAAGUGAAAAAUAUGACUAUUUUUACUAAAACUUAUCGAAGUAGGAAAAAUCAGUUCUACUAAUGAUUUUUCAUAUCUCUAACACAAUCGCAUCUUCAACUCCACCCGAAAAUCAUUCAUGUUCUCAAUUACGAUGCAGUACGAGAUAUUGUCUUUGAAUUCUACCUUAAGUCUAGCCAUCCGACAAGUUACGCAGUUAAAUUAGUUUAGUAAAAGCCCAGUCAAACUGUCAAUCUCUAGGCAGUUAAGGAAAAAAGAAGAAAAAAAGUGAAAAAGCAUAUAUUAUAGAAAGCUUUACACUAGGAAAAUAAUAUAUUCAACUGCUAAAAGUUACAUAAUUAAGGAUUAAAUAAACUUAAAAGGAAGUAAAAGAAUUAAUAUUGAAUUAGUAAAAGAGUGGGUAAAUGUUGGUGAGAAUGGACAUGAGUUAGUAUGAUCUAGUUAAGAAUGUGCCUAAGACUAGAAAUGUAAGUUUUUCUCAUCUCGAGUUAAUAAAAAAAUUGUCUCAUAAAAUAUACUAAUAUAUAUUUUUUAAAUCUAUUUUACAUCGAAAUAAUUCAUUGAAAAAAUACAUCAAAAAACAGAUCUUAAUAAGAUAACGAAAGCUUCCUAAUAUAUUUUUUCAAUGGAAAAAACGUGAUGUUUUAAUAGUGAUUUGAUGUCGGUGUCAAACUUAUCAAUUCAUCACGUAAUAUCAUUUAUAUAUAUUUCACCUAACAAAUUAACAUGUCAGUUUUUCACAUAAUGUAUGAUAGAAAUCAAUAAAAAUAUUUGUAAUAUUUAUUCAUAUUUAAUUUUUCAUCAACGCUAAACUCGAAAAUAUCAAAUUAAAAGUGAUAGCAAGUGCAUUUGAAAAAGGGUGUUUAAUUGUACCAAAAUACCCCGACAUUUACUUUUCUAGAAUGACUCAUAAUGAAAAUUGAUUAAUAAUUAAUUAAUUAAUUAAUUAUAUAGUUUAUGGUUGUAACUGUGCUGCAACAGAAACCAUUAGCAUAAACCAUUAGCUAGUAGCUAAGGAAUCUACUAGCUAAUUAAAGAAAUUAACUUUUACUAGGAGGAUUAGAUGUCAUAAAUCAUAAUUAUUGGUCAUUACUGUUUGGCUACCAUUUCUCAAAUCUCAAGCAAAUAUAUAAAUUGUUUAUACAUAGUGGAGGGCUAAGAAAUAUUACUAUCAUAGCUUCUAUAAAUAUCAAGGUAAUAUUCCUCAAUAUUUUUAAAAAGCUGAAUAUUACUAUAUUUUUGGAUCGAUUAUUACAAGUUUGAAUAUUGAAUGAGGUAGUUUGUUCUUAAAUAGAUUAAAAUAAAAAUUAACUGUUUUAAUAAUGACUUAGCUUGAAUGACCGUAGUUUAUAAAAAUUAUUAUAAAAUUAAAAAAAAUUCUGACUAAUCAAACAUGAAUUAGUUUUGGAUGAUGUUCAAAGUUUUGCAAUACUAUAAAGAUUAUUUGACAUGAAGAAAAAUAUAUUUUCUUAGAAAAACAAACUUCUUAAUGGAAAAAAAAAUAAUAGAGGAAACAAGUUUUAUAAGUGAUAUUUUAAGUUCAUUGUUUUCUCUUCAUCGAUCCAACAAUUUCAAUUUCCACCACCCUCGAACUCCCACCCUUCCUGCCUAUAUAAUAUUUUGCCAGAUUAUAUAUAAAUAUUGCAUGACAAAUUUUUUAUUUACUUGCCAAAACACUACAAAAUAAUAAAAAAUCACUUACUUUCAACAAGAUAUUUUAUAAAAAAAAACAUUUUUCUAUUUUAUUUUUCUUUACUUACCAAAACUCACAGUACACUUAUUUUGAAUACACUGAGGAGGAAAAAGAGUUCACAUUUUGAUAAAACAAAAUCAACCUUUCUAUUGUUGAUGACGCACCUGAGCCAUUUUUUCUACAGCAUACGAUUAUCACAUUCAAGAUUCAAUCAUUUCUAAUUAUAGUACUAUUUCAUAUAAUAUAAUUUUUAUCUCAAUUUAAAUGAUAUUUUUCAAUUUAGGAGAUUCAAAUAAAUUUAUUUUUUAUAGUAAAUUUUUCAUAUAUUUUUUUAUAUUUUUAAUUAUCAAUUAUUGUGACUUAUAAUAUAUUUUUUGUAAUUUACAAAUUGCAUUUCAAAAAAUUUGAAAAUUUCAUGCUAAAUUAUUGAUUAAACUCAAACUAUUUAACACUUAGAAAACAAAAAAUAUCACUUAAAUUGGGACGAAGAGUAAUAUAUUAUAAUAAUCCCACCACCAUUCUUCUCUAUCUCUUUACCAAUUUUCAACGCACCCCAGUCUUUCCCUUCUUAUAAGCUCUCCAUUUCUGCACUUUUCUCUAUCAUCUUCUUCUUCAAUUAUUUUUUCUUCUUUUUAUAUAUAAUUUAAUUAAUCUAAUGAAGAUCCAGUGUGAUGUGUGUAACAAUAAUGAAGCCUCUGUUUUUUGUGUUGCUGAUGAAGCUGCUCUUUGUGAUUCUUGUGAUCAUCGUGUUCAUCAUGCUAAUAAACUUGCUAGCAAACAUCAACGUUUCUCUCUUAUUCAACCUUCACCUAAACAAAUACCAGUUUGCGAUAUCUGUCAGGUAAAGUAGUCAGAGACGGAUUCAGAAUUUAAAUUUAGAACUCUGAGUCAUGAGUUUAUUAAUUUUUUUGGGUACUUAAUUUUACAGGAAAGAAGGGCUUUUUUGUUUUGUCAACAAGACAGAGCAAUUCUAUGCAGAGAGUGUGAUGUUUCAAUACACAAAGCUAAUGAACAUACACAGAAACAUAAUAGAUUUCUAUUAACUGGUGUCAAAAUUUCAGCGAAUUCUUCGCUUUAUACUUCAUCAGAAUCAGCAUCAGCAACUUCAUGUAGUGCGAAUCAAGAUUCUGUUACAAAUCUCAAUAAGUCUCAAACUUGCACAAAAAAGACUUUGCCUGUUUCUGGUUCUGUUCCUCAACAAGUGUCAGUGGCAGUUAAUAUUGGGGAAAAUAGUUAUACAAGUAGUAUAUCAGAGUACUUAGAGAUGUUACCUGGAUGGCAUGUUGAAGAAUUGCUGAAUUCCUCUACAAUUCCUACUAAUGGUUUCUGUAAGGUUUGCAUUUUGUGCUCAUUUUCAAUCUUAUAACUGGUAAAAUUAUUGUUAUGUGAUCAACAGAUUAUUGAUUCGAGCUGUGAAAAUAGUCUUUUGUAGAAAUACAGAGUAAGGCUAUUGUACAAUAGACCCUUGAGGUCCGAUCCUUUUCCACAUAGCUGAAGCUUAGUGCAUUAGACUGUCAUUUUUGUCAAAUGGUUGUGAAAUGCAAUUAUCUGAUCUAUUUUUUUUCUUGUAGAUUGGUGAUAAUGAUGUGUUUCCGAUUUGGGAUACUGAGAUUGAGAGCACAAUGAAUUCAUUCUCACCAGAAAAUUUAGGUAUUUGGGUCCCUCAAGCACCUCCACCUCCUACUCCUCAAAAGAAUCAGAACCAAGUUUUCCCUCAGAAUAUAAACUUUGGUGGACAAAUUGAAUUCAAGAAUAUGAAGGAAGUUACAAGUAACAAGUCAAGUAGAAAGUGGAGAGAUGACAAUUCUUUUGCUGUUCCACAAAUCAUCCCAUCAUCAUCUUCUAUUUCCUUCAAAAGAUCAAGAACUCUUUGGUAGUUGGAUCCAAUCAUCUUUUUUUCUUUUAAUUCCCUAGUUUGAUUUUUUUUUCUAUUUCUGUGGGUAUUUCUUUAUUUUUUUUUGCCUUUUCUUGAUUUAGUUUGAGCAACAAAAAAAAAAUGAAAAAAAAGAACACCCCAUCUCCUCUUUUGUGCUCAAUUAAUACACAACUUGGUUUUGUUGUGUUCUUGGAAUUAUUGUUUUGGUGCAAGGGCCUCUUUUGCUUUGUAAAUAUCUUUUUAGGCAUAAUACAUAAACACACUCUCAAAUUUAGCUUAAAUUGUCAAGCAAAUAUUUCAAUUUACAAAAUGGCCUUCUAGGACUUUCAAAAUUGAUGUGUUACGUCAGUGUUGGAUGUCCACAAGAUACAAUAAGCAAGGAUGAAUAUUGGAAUGCUUAGUUGCUAGUCGAGACCAAAUUGAGGUGUUGAGAUAUGUAUUCUCAAAGUUAGAAGGCUUACUUUUCAGCUGAGACUAGAUUUAAGUGUUUGUUUUAUGUAUUAUGACAAUUCCUAUUAUGUUUUGUUGAAUCCCAUAAAACUCAGAGGUUUAUGAAUCAAUGUUGGACACAAUCACAUAUCAUGUCGUAUUUCAACAAAAAAAGAUCUCUUAUGAUCAAUUAUAAGCUAAAAAACCUUGAUUUCAUGUGUUAUAUUUUAUCGAUCUCACUUGAAAAGAUAUUUAUAAUGGACUAUAAAACCUAUCUCCACUAUUUCACAGAACAUUGAUGAAAUUCAAUGUAUGAAUCAAAGAAGUGAUAGUUAAGAAAGGCACUUAAUUAAAGAACUUUUAGUCAUCCCUUUUGGUCUGGGAAUAACACCAACAAGAGGGUGGCAUUGCACUGCAAUGAUGAUUGUUAUCAGAUAAGAAGGCCAGACUGGCAAAUUCUAAUAGAUAUAUUAUUAUAUAUAGCAGCCAUGUAGGGACCUGAUAUCUUGAAAUUCAGUAAAAAAAAAUCGUAAUUAUAAGAUAAAAUUUGUAAGUCCAAUACAACUUGCAUGCCAACAUUUUAAAGAGUUACUUGGUAUUUGUUGUUGAUAAGAAGUGAUAGAUUUUUGUGGAAUUAGUUGAGGUGCGCGAAAGCUGGCUCAAACGAGACGUUGCAGAAUCAAGUAGUAUCUAAAUUCCAAUCAAGAGUAUUAAAUUUGAACAAAAUUUUAUAUACAAACAACAGUAACAAUUGUAGAAAAGUGGAUGACAAGAUGGGGCCAAAAGUGACUUGUGAUCAAUCAAUUUUCAAGAACUAAGAAAUUUAGUGAAUUAAUGGACCUAAAUGAAUAGUAACAACUAACUACCCUGAGGACUCCGACCAGACAUUUGAAGUAUGAAAAAAGUGGAUCCCAAAUCACAAUUGACAAAAUUAGGGCAUAUAUAAAAGUAGUAGUGGUAGGGAGACCGGAGACAGGUAGGGUUGACGAAAAAUUACACUAUUUAUACAAUGUUAAAAUUAUUUUCUACGUAUAUAUAUAGUACAUAUUACUUCUUCAUAAUUUGAAAUCUUUAAUAAAAUUUUUGACUCCGCACCUUAUAAUACACUAAUAGUUAGAAAUAGAGAACAGAUAGGGACCAAAAGCCAGCAAAAGUGCAUCAAAUGUUCAGCCAACAUGGCCAAAACUUUAUGGGGUAAACAUUUAAGGCUAGUUAGGCCACUAGUAAAGCCAGCUCUAUAACAAGGGUUAUGGUGUAGUGGAAAGUACUCAUUUAUUCUUAAUCAGAGAUAUCGAGUUCGAAUCCCUUAAGGCCUAAUGUGGGACUUUCAACCGUGAAUUUGGAUUUAGUCGGACUCCAAAAAAAAAAAAAAAAAAACUCUGAAUGAAAUACUAGUUGCUAGGACCAUUUCAACUUGCAUAUUUCAUUCUCAAUUAUAUUAUCAUUGCCAUGUCCCUAUCCUUCUUGUUUGUCGAAUAUGGCAAUCACUCUCACGUUAUUAAUAACCAGGAUCCACAUCCACCCACCCAAAAAAAUAUAAAAAGUUGUGGGGAAAAAGUCCAAAAAAUUCUCCAUAACAUUCGAAACUACUCAAGUCUAUCUUUUGUUAUACUUUCAGUCCAUAUAUACUUUAGUCGUUAGUCAUUACUCAGGUUUUUUAAAAAUUAUUUGACUCGAUUUGCGGUUUAGCUCAAUUUUGUACCGCCCAUUAUUAGUAUAUAUGUAAUCUUUUUAUUAUUAUUAUUAUUAUUAUUAUUAUUAUUAUUAUUAUUAUUAUUAUUAUUAUUAUUAUUAUUAUUAUUAUUAUUAUUAUUAUUAUUAUUAUUAUUAUUAUUAUUAUUAUUAUUAUUAUUAUUAUUAUUAUUAUUAUUAUUAUUAUUAUUAUUAUUAUUAUUAUUAUUAUUAUUAUUAUUAUUAUUAUUAUUAUUAUUAUUAUUAUUAUUAUUAUUAUUAUUAUUAUUAUUAUUAUUAUUAUUAUUAUUAUUAUUAUUAUUAUUAUUAUUAUUAUUAUUAUUAUUAUUAUUAUUAUUAUUAUUAUUAUUAUUAUUAUUAUUAUUAUUAUUAUUAUUAUUAUUAUUAUUAUUAUUAUUAUUAUUAUUAUUAUUAUUAUUAUUAUUAUUAUUAUUAUUAUUAUUAUUAUUAUUAUUAUUAUUAUUAUUAUUAUUAUUAUUAUUAUUAUUAUUAUUAUUAUUAUUAUUAUUAUUAUUAUUAUUAUUAUUAUUAUUAUUAUUAUUAUUAUUAUUAUUAUUAUUAUUAUUAUUAUUAUUAUUAUUAUUAUUAUUAUUAUUAUUAUUAUUAUUAUUAUUAUUAUUAUUAUUAUUAUUAUUAUUAUUAUUAUUAUUAUUAUUAUUAUUAUUAUUAUUAUUAUUAUUAUUAUUAUUAUUAUUAUUAUUAUUAUUAUUAUUAUUAUUAUUAUUAUUAUUAUUAUUAUUAUUAUUAUUAUUAUUAUUAUUAUUAUUAUUAUUAUUAUUAUUAUUAUUAUUAUUAUUAUUAUUAUUAUUAUUAUUAUUAUUAUUAUUAUUAUUAUUAUUAUUAUUAUUAUUAUUAUUAUUAUUAUUAUUAUUAUUAUUAUUAUUAUUAUUAUUAUUAUUAUUAUUAUUAUUAUUAUUAUUAUUAUUAUUAUUAUUAUUAUUAUUAUUAUUCAUUGUACGAAUAAGUCGUGUUCUAAUAGAAGUGCUCCUAUAUAUUUGACUUGUCACCCUAAACCUAUUUCAACUAGGACUUAAUUUCCCUCUCAUAUAUAUACCUACACAUUGAGGACUACAAUUCUUUCAAUUUUUUUUUAUUUAUUCGCCGGUGUUCCAAGUCCAUAUUGAGAAACACAAUUCUAAGCAUAUUUAUUUUGCAAGUAUGGUGAAACCACAGAAGGACGACCGUUUAGAGUAUAUUUUGAAGAUAAUAGGUUUAUCUCUUAUUGAUUGCAAUAGGAAUUGGAAUUUGCCAACUUCCACCUGAAUAUGCUAUUUCAUUCUUCAUCCCUUUUUUCAUUAUAUUUUUCCAGGUGGUGUUUUAUUACUUAGAUAUAUAAGGAAGGAAAUCGAUCGACAACAUAUACUAUUAAGCCAGAAUGAUAAGAAUUAAGAAGUGUUUACUCGAUUGAAGGACAAGUAUAGAAGUUUAUUAUCUUAGUUUGCACUUUUUCUUUGUAUUUUUGCAUUUUUGAUAGUUAUGUUGAUUAUAAUUUUGGUGUUUUAUAACAUGUCACGUAGGGAGUACUAUUUUAGCAAGGUUAAUCUUGACUAAUCUCUUCAAUGUUUCUAAUACUUUGCUACUAAGGGUGUGUUCGAUAAAGGGGACAUUUUUAAGAAAAUAAUUUUUCAUGUUUGAUUGAUCAAAAAUUAUAAAAAAAAUAUUUUCUUUAAAAAAUAAUAAAUUACUUAACAAUUUUUGCUAGAUCCCAUCAAAUAAAAUUUCAGAAGGAUACAACUUACAAGGAUGGAAUUGACGUCAAUUUUUUAUUUUCGAAAUUGCCAAGGCGAAAGUUAUUCCUAAUUAAACAAUAACUUCAAAUUAUCCAUCAAUCAAAAUAUGCACCAAUUAAAACAGCAUAGAGGGUGGCCCUAAAGCCAACUUAGAAUUUAUGGGUGGCUCUAAAGCCAACUUAGAAUUUAUUGGCCUAUACAUAGACAUAUUAACAACAAAAGACGAGUCAAAAUUAUUUAAUUUUACAAGUUUUAAAUUUUAAAAUGGCUACUUCAAGUGUUAAUAGCUAAGUUUUGAACUUAUUAUUCAUACAUAUUUAAUGAAUUUAUUAACAUAAAAUAUAUUAUUUGAGCAAAUGUUACUGAAUUCAUCCGAACCAUAGCUGGGCUUCUUACUCCACCCCUUUUAAACAAUUAUAUACAUUACUUUAUAUUAAUAAAUAUAUAAAAAUUAUAAUAUUAAUCCUUAAAUAUAUAUAGAUAUGGGGUGGUUUUUCCGUCUAAAUAAUAUUGACGCCCAAAAUCCCAUUUUAAUGCAAGACCCAAACCGAAAGCUCUAGUAGCAAAUCUUUCAAUGUUAGUCAACUAUUAGGUUGAUUUACCCAGAAUUUUAUUUUUAAGUUAUUAUUUAAAUUUUAUGCCAAUUUUCAAAUUUUGUGAGAAUAUAAUCAUUAAUUCAGAUAUUGUUCGACUUCUAAUAUUUAUUUAUAUAUUGCUUAAUCUUACCGAUAAAAUAUGAACUAAUUAAUUGUAAUCUAGUACUUAUAAUAAUUUUUCAUUGUAAUAAUUUUUCAUUGUAAUCUAGUAUUUAUAAGUUUUAAUCAACUCAAAGAUAAUUUAUUAUUUACUAUUAAUCGCAGUGAACACUUUUUUCUUUUAAUAUUAGUAUAUAUCUCUAUAUAUGUAGUCUUUGUUUUUCUUAUGAAGAAGUCUGCUCCUAUGUAUUUGCUAGGUUAGUUCUUCCUUUUAAUUUGUGUUUAUUUAUAUUAGAACAAUAUAUACAUGUUUAAAAAAACUACAAAUUAUAAGUUAUAGGUUCAAUGUGUUUUAGUUCACGUCAAACUAAUAUCUUUUGAACUUUAAGAAUUAUUGGGACUUAAAAUUAGCACUUGAGUAGGAUUAGAUUUUCUUGUAAUUCGUAUUUGUCAAUUAAACUAUUAAUUUUAAAGUCUUAAUAAAUUUAAUUUUGGUUAAUUUUUUAAAUUAUUAAAUAUUAAAAAACUAGUAAAUGACAAUUUUGUGUAUAGUUAAUGAAGGGUAAAAGGCUCAAACAACAUUUUCAAGGACUUUUAAUAUAUUUAUAAUAAUUCUUUUUUUCAUCAUUCAUAUGAAGAAGUAGUAUUUUAACAGGAGUCUUCUUGUAUAUUUGAUUUGUCACUUAUUUAAUUCAACUAGGACUUAAUUUUUCUUUUAUAUAUACUUGAGAUUUUCAUAGAAGAAAAAUACUAUACCUAUCCAUCGACAAAUCUAAGCAUAUAUCUUCUUCUUUUUUAAAGUAUGGCAGAACAAUGGAAGGACGAUAAUUCUAAAGAUUGUGAGGAAAUUGUUCAGUCGUAUGAUAAUUCCAAUGAUCGUGAAGAAAUUGUACAUGCAUAUGAUAAUUUCGAAAAUCGUGAGAAAAAUCGCCGUCGCUUUGUUUUGAGGACCAUAGUUUUGGGCUUAACCCUUGCAAUAUCGGUAGGAAUUCCCGGUCAUCCAAAUAAAUAUGAUAUUUUGUUAUCCUUCCCUUUUUUCUUUACAUUUUUAUAUGAUCUUGUUUUAUUAUUUAGAAGUAGAUAAUUUUAAAGAUCGUGAGUAAAUUGUACAUGCGUAUGAUAAUUUCAAAGAUUGUCAGGAAAUUAUGCAUGCGUAUGAUAAUUUCAAGGAUCAACAACAUCUCCUUUUUAGCCAAUCCAAAAUGAUGAGAAGUGUUUACUCUGUUGAAGGACAACUAUAGAAGUUUAGUUAUCUAGUUUGCGCUUUUCUUUAUAUUUUUGCAUUUUUUUUGGUUUGGUUGUUUAAUUAUAAUAAUAAUAUAAGUAUUGUCACUUCUCAAUUCCUUAUGCUCUUGGCCGAUCUCUUCCAUAUUUCUGAGACCUUGAUGAACAUUUUAUUAAAAAAAUGUCAGUUGAAAUUUUAAAAAGUAUUUUGGUUAAUAAUUAAAUUGUUUAAAACUUUGGAAUAUAAUCUUCUUAAUAAAAAUAGGAAUAACAGAUUUUACAAAUAUUGUUCUACACAUUAAUUGUAUUCUUCCCAUCCUAUUUUAUUAGGCUUGCAAUAAUUAACCAUUAAUUAGGUACCAUCUUCAAUUACUUUUAGUUUUAUGCUCAACUCGGAUUAAUUUCUUUGUAAUCAAAAUUUUAAUAUCUUGAUUGAUCUACCGCAUAGAUUCUACGCAAACAAACUUAUAAUAUUAUGAUUAGUGAGUGAAAAUUUAACCUCUAUGUAUGAUUUUUUAAAAAGCUAAUCGAUUGCAAAAUUAUUUGGUUAUUUAAUUUUCCAAUGAGGUUAGUAAAGGAGAACCAAGAUAGAAAAUAUAAAUGCGAAUGCGAAUGCAAAUCAAUCAAAUUAACCUGAAAAAUAGCGACAAGUUCAAGUCUUCUAGAUAAGCACAAAUUAAAGGGCAACUAAUUAUACUCUAUACUUGCAUAAUUAAUUGCUUUUAUUAUUAUUAUUAUUAUUAUUAUUAUUAUUAUUUAUAUAAUAAUAUAUACACAUAGUUAUAAGUACAUGUAUCUGCUAUGAUUGCUUUGUUUAUGUAUCUCAGAACCAAGGCUUGCUUUGUUUAUGUAUCUCAGAACCAAGGCUUUGUUCAUGUAUCACAGAACUAAUAAAGUGAAAGCUUAUGUAGCUAACCAACUGAGCUUAUGUAGCUAACCAACUGAGCUAUUAAAAUUUUCUUAUAAAACAAUAUCAAAAGAUAGUUUGUAUAAUAAUUUUGAAUCAGAGUUCUACCAAUUAGAAUAGACUCUUUAGGCAAAAAUGAAUAAAAUAAAAAAACAAUAGAUCUUAUGUUUGAAUGGGGAGAAAAAAUAAAGAAAGAAGAUUAGAUUUUAAAAAAUCAGGUUAUUUAAAUUAUUUUUAUGAUACAGACCUAGUUUAUUACUGCCUUUUAAUUCAAUUUAUUUCGUAUUAUAUUAAAAAAAAAAAAGAGAGUAGGAUUUUAGGAGUAUCAAAAUGGGCCAUCAGUGGGCUUACAAGUUGUUUGGAUGUAAAAAAUUUGGGCCUAUGAUACCUUGAGCUGUGUUCGGCUCAAGGAUUUUGAUGUGGUUUGUUUGGAAUUUAUUCAUAAAAAAAAUAAAAAUUAAUGUCAUUAGAUUGUCAAUAAAUAAUAUAUAUAUAAAAAUAAUUAAAUUGUCAAUGACUUUUUUAAACUUGUUUAAAAUUAAAUUGUCACAUAAAACACUACAUACAACACAAAUAUCAUGUAAAAUAUUAAAUAUAUAUGUUUAUUUGUUUAAUUUUAUACUAAUGUAAGUAUUUUGUGUACAAUUAAAAUUAUUAGAAGUGAUAAAUGCUAACCGACGUUAAGUCAAAGAACAUAUUUACAUUUUAUUUAAUUAUAUAAUAAUUAUUUUAUAAAUUAUUAAUUAUGAACGUAUAUGAAGAAACAGGUUUUAGGGUUUUAGCUAAAAUCGAGUUUCAGAAAACACUAUCUGUGCCGGCGAUUGCUUUUUUUCGAUAACAAUGGGGAAGAAAAAGUUCAUCGACAAGAAGAAAUCAGCUACUUUUCAGUUAUUCGCCUGUGAUUCAUCGGAUCCGGCUUAUGAAUCCGGGUCCUCCGGCGCCGACAGAGUGUUCGUCAGAGUUGACAACAAUACAUCCUACUCAGUCGACGCCUUUCACUCCGCCGAUCAAUUUAACCCUGAUGACCCGAAUUCGAUAUACGCUGAUGCUCCGGAAGAUGAAGAGGAGUACAAUGGGUGGGCAGCCGGGUAUUCGGGUACCGGAAAUCAAACUGUGCUGUUACCUGAUGAUGUUAGAAAGGAGAUAUUGGAGCUAGGGUUUCCUGAUGAUGGGUAUAAUUACUUACAUCACUUGAGGGAGAUUAAGAAUACCGGUGGAGGCUCUGCUUAUUAUGAGAAUCCUAAAGCUAAGUUUAAUGAGCUUCCUCGUGAUGUUAAGGUUUGUUAAUUCUAUGAAUUUUUGUAUUGUAUUUACUUUUUCUGCCUAAAAAUGUUAGCUUUGGUUGAAUUAGUAUUAUUCUAUGUCAUAAUUAUAUAGAAUUAGCAUUAUUUGUUUUUGUAUAUGAGUUUCAAUGGAGUUACACUAAGGAUUAAUAUUUAGUCAACCCCAACGUGUUUGAACUGAGGUCUAAUUGUUGUAGAUUUUUAGUUGUAUUAUAUGGAAGUAGUUUUAGGAUUUCAGCUUUUGUUGAAUUAGUAUAGUGAUACAAUCAACUAUGCCUCAAUUCCCUUUUAGUUGGCAGUGUAUACAAAUCCUUUUUGAGUAUAAUUCAUCAUAAUGAUUACGUUGGUUCAGUAUUUUAUUUUGGAUUUGGUGAAGUAUAUGUUCUUGUCAGUAUAUUUAUUGAAAGAAAGGGAAAACAAAGAAUUGAUUAAUACUAAUUUUUAAAGACAGUAGCUUUGUGGCUUAUCUUUUCUAGUUAACAAAUUUAUGGUUUUGGUUAGGCAUAUGAUGCUUCAAGAGUUGCGGUUGCAAAAGUGGAUGAUGAUUCCAAUGAGAAAUAUGUAUACAAUGUGGCAGCCAAGACGGUAGGGGUAAGAGUUCAGAAGGCAGUGGAUCCUGAAGUUGCUGCUUUGCUAGAUGACAGUGAUUUGUCACGUUUUGGGUCUGAUGAGGAGGAUUUAGAGUUGGAAGAAGAUUUUGUUAUCACGGCAAACCUACCCGAUGAGGCAGAUACUGUGGAACUUGACAAGAAUUUAAGCUUGCUAGAGAGAUCAGACGUUGACAAACUAGGAAGCAAUGAUACGGCUGGACAUGUGCAGAGAAAUGAGGCCAAAUUUGCGUCUAUUGAAGAGAAGCCAAGAGCACGCCGCCCUCUGGAUGAACAGUUUGAUAUGGUAAGCCGUUUGUUCUCCUAUAUUUAUUUUCUUUUUGUUCAAAUCUAUAGUUUUCUUCACGGGAACUUUUACAAGCCCGAUGACAACUUAAGAGAGAAAAAUUACUUCCCCCCAAAAAAAGAAAAGAAAAGAAGAGGCUAAAGUGACCAUAAGUGUGUUAUAAGAGGACAUCAGCCCAUGUUAAAUGAAUUGGUCUAAUUUGCCUUUUUUCCGGUAAUGUGGUUCCAGUCCAUUUGGUGCUCACCUUAAUCAACUCAUUGAAAUAUUUUCUAAUUUCUACCUCACACUUGUCGAGCUCAAAUUUUCCUUCUAGAAGAAAAUGUUUCUAACUUGCAACUAGCACAGGUAUUUGGUAGCUCUUCCCUUGUCUUAGGUAGAUGGGGUUUACCUAGUCAUAGUUUGGGAGGCUGAGGAGCAUUGUAGAAUAGUGGAGGUGUGCGCAAGUUUCUAUCUUUGAUAGAUAGGCCACCCCAUUAGGUCUGAAUUUGCAGCAUCUGCUUUAAAAAUAUUUUUCGAUGACAUUGUUUCUUUUUGAAGUUCUUUUUCUCCUGGUGCUUUGCUUGAUAAUAGAGGCAAUCUAAGCCACCAUUUGCGUGUCUUACAGUGGUAAUUGCUUGUAAGAUCUAUUACUACACUGAUACAACUUCAGAUACAUGUACAAAUGGCAUGUUUUCAGCUGAAAUUGAGUUGAAAUAUUCUUUUUUUGAUAAGGCAAAGGUUAGCAGAGAAUGAAAUUAUUUGAGUCUUUGUUUUGUAAGUAUUAAGUAUUUCCACUAAAGCUCUUAUCUUUUCCCUCAAAAUGACUUCUAAGUAGUACAUACAUUUAGGUUUUGAACUAUUAUUAUCCAAUAGAUUAUAUGGAUUUUCAUGCCGUUUAUCUUUGCUUAAUCUAUUGUUUUUCAGCAAGCUGUUAGACUCAUUCCUCGAGCUUUUUGUUCUGAUGACUGGUUUCAUACCAUGGUUGCAUCAUCAUUGGGCUUGAAAAAAUUUAUUAGUUGUUAUCGACUGAAAGAGGAAAUAUUUUGUCUUGCAUCAUUGAAUGAAGCCAUAAGCAUGUGUUAAUUUGUAUGUUUAGGUUUAUUUUUUAUUUUCAGUUCUAAGUUGCUUCUUGGUUUUAGGGUAAUUGCAUAAGCUUAUAAUGUGUAUAGUAAUUUGAUUAAUAUGUAUUUUUGUAGUAUUUUCUGCAGUGUUUGCUUUUUUAGGUUGUUAAUUUGUAUGAUGUUUCCUUGUUUAUAUUUUGAGUCUACUUGUCUUUAGGUAGAAGAAUAAGAUAGUCUGCUUAUAGUAGCUCUCCUUGUAAAUUGAACACUACUCUCGAGAAUUGUUAAGUCUCUUGUAAGUUUUUUAUUCACUAAACUCUAGAGAGUUGAUAAUUUUACAUUUGUUAUUGUUUCUUCAUGAUUAAGAUAAUGUCUGUUCUUCUUUAUUGAUAUUUUUGAUUGAUAGUUGUCUUGUCUCUGUCUUGCAUCUCAUCUUCUCAGCUUGAACUUGAAGAGUAUGGAUCUGAUACCGAAGAAGAAUAUGAUGGUGAUAUGAUUGAGGAAAAUGAAUGUCACGAAUCCCUUGCAGAAAAGCUUAAUCAUGCAUUUAAGGAGUGUGCCAUUGAUGGCUUGGAACUCAAUAAUUAUGGACCAGAUAAUGCGGAAUUGCUUGAACCUGAAGCUGAUGUCAUAAACCGGUGCAGAGAAUAUGCAGAGAAGUAUGAAAAUGAAGGUCCAGAGGAAGAAGCAGCUAUUUUUGAUGAAAGCAGCAGUGACUCAGAAGUAUGGGAUUGUGAAACUAUAGUGUCAACGUAUUCAAAUCUUGAUAACCACCCUGGAAAAAUUGUAGCUCCUGAAGCGAGGAGAAAAAAGUUGCUCCCUGCUAUUUCGGAAGCUUCGCCUAUAAUAUCCCUCAAAGGAAAAGCAAAUCUUCCUGUAGACUAUUUGCCUAGCAAGGGAAAGCAUGCCUUGCUAAAGGAGGAUAAGAAAAAGCAAGGUUCAGAAAAGGAGGGAAAGGACAACUCAAUGAAGGAGCAGCUCAAAAGAAAGCAACAUGGUCAAGAGUCAAAGGAGGAAAAGAAAGAAAGAAAGGUCAAUGGUUUUGUAUAUCAAUAUUUUCUAUUGUGGAAUUGUAUUGCUCGAUAUCUCUCUCCUUUGCUGAGCUCGUUUUACUUUGCCUAGUCCUUUUGGAUUUAUUUUUUCUUCUCAAUUGUACAUAAAACAUCUGAUAUAAUGUUUUAACAUUGAGGUUCUACCUUUUCAGGCUGCUGUGAAGGAAGAACGGCGUGAGGCACGCCGUAUGAAAAAAGAAACGAAGGAGCUAUACAAGUGCGAAGCACAGCGUGCCCAGAAGGUUGCUGCUUUUACCGGUCCAUCUGCCAUACAUCUCAUGUGAGUAUCCCUUCAGAAUUUGUGUCAAAAUCUGGCAACAUAUACAUGCCUUUGUAGUUUUGUAAGUCUGAAUUCAGGGAGAAGUCCUGUGUCUCCAUGGUUUUGCAAGUCUGAUGGAAAAGUGAGUAAGUUGCUAGGGCGUUGGAUGAAGUUUUGGUUGGAUGCUUGGUGCUUUGUUCAGCUUUGCCUUAGGGGGUGCAAUCACUAGAGUCCCAUGUCCUAUUCAUAGACAACUUCUUCCUUCUUUCUCCCAUUAAAUUCCAACGUCUUUCUAAUCAAUUUCUUCUACGUCAUCGUUGCUGAAAUUAUAUCUUUCUGAUAGAAAAAUUGCUGUCUUUGAGUUAGUGUUCACAACCCCUUGUAUCAGGCUUAUAUUUUUGAAAUUUUGUUUGGUGUUAAGCUCAUUGUUUUUUCCCCAAUUGCAAAGAGGUGUUCCGCAGGCUAGUUCAAGAACUCUAAAUACGCUUGCUCCCACGUUUAGUGCUUCUAAGCUAGAGAGACUUUAAUUCACUACAGCAUUGCAGUUCCUCUGUCAACAAACCAAAAAACCAUGAAGUUUGAAAUGCUUGGUUAAUGUUAAGAACCAUGAAAACCAGAUCUUCAUUAAAAAGAACCAUGAAAACCAGACACCAUCGACUCUAGGCGCUUUUGACAUGUAACCUGACAACUAGCUAGAUGGUAACAUUUAAAGAAGAUUUCGUCUACGGUCUAGCAAUCCAAAUCCAAUUCUCAACUAGCAAUCCAUUAUAUUAUGUCUUAAUGGCUAUUUUCUUGCCCCUUUAACUCAAAGCAAUAAUUAAACAAGAAGGUACUGAAUGUAGUUUUUUGUUGGCUUCAAAAUUCAAAAUUUCCUGAUGGUAAUUUACUUAUAAAAUAUCUGGUUGUGUUUCACAUUUAACAGUGGAGUAGCUUGUGGUUUAAAAAGAGAACUGAUAGAAUCUUCGGUCUGUUUAUUUUCUCACAGGUGACAUUAUUUUGGUUGUGUACUUUAAAGUCAAAGCCUUUGCAGCUGUAGUUGAUCCUCUAUUGCACCCAAAAUGGGAGCUUUUGGUUGACACGUUCUUCAAUUAUCAAGACGAUGUUCGAAAGCUUUUCUACUCUUAGAUGGUAUAUAAUACAUGAUAGAUCCUCAAAACAGUUCUCAGCUACAUAACGUAUGUGCAUGGUUAAGCAGAGUUGCAAUUUUGAUGAAUAUUUACGGUUUAAUUGGUGGAAUAUGCCGACUUCUGGACAUUCUAUGUAGCCCUUUUACAGUUUGUGAUGUUAUUGGAGUUUUAACAGUUCGCAAACUUCAUGUCCUGCAUUUAAUUCUAAAUUGUGUUUCAUUCCUGUUAAGUUUGUCAUUGUGGUCUGUGGAUUGAAAUUGGAUCCUUGGAGUUCUCUGUUCUCCUAGUGCUCAGCUAUAUCUGCAAUAUGCUUGAAUCUUUUUCUGUUGUGAUGGACAGACAAUUUGUUCAUAAGCAUUCACCAUAAACUUGUCUGCAUUUAUUUGGUAUCAUUACAAAGUGCGAAAUCUGAAUCAAGCAGAUAACAACUCUUACUUACAUCAUUACCUUAUAUCAUAUACUUUGCUUUAUAGCCAUAAUAAGGUGACAUAAAUGUAAGUGUACCUAAACGGUGAUUGCUGCUACUGAAUACUUGUACAAAUUAGACACUAAUAACUGUGUUUGGAUCACUUUGCCUUGUGCUCCUCCGUAUUAUGGCCGCCUCUCCCAUGAGGAAUAGGAGCUGGGUCACCUCUGCCGAAGUAUGGUGCUGGACUCAAGAAACCAUAAUCUUGGAAGUGUUCUUCUGUCUGAAAUUGAUAUGUGAUGUCUUUGAACUUGUUUAGUUGUUGUUCUUGGAUUGAGGCGUAAUUGUUGUUGAGCUGCUCUUCUUCCUGGAGUUGCAAGCUCAUCGAUGCUGGUGAAUCUGAUGGUGACAAUGGCGAUUUUGUAGCCAUGAAUAGUACUAUAAUAACCAGCAUACAUAAAAAGUGCAUGACUGACCUUACAGUAAAGAUUGGCAUGCGGAAGUGAUGUAUAGAUUGUUGUUAGUGAGUUUUGUCAAUUGAUGUUUAAGUUUAACUUGUGCUGGUGUUUGUUAUGUUUCAUGCAUUGGGGAUGACAUAAUCAUGGUUCUUGCAUGCACAAUUUUUGAGAAGCAGCUCAUGUCGUCACACAUUCAACUUCUUUCUAGUGCUAGUUUUCCUCCGAUUUAACCUUCUACCGUAAUUUUCGACUUUCAUGCUCUUUUAUCUAGGAUCAUGUUCUUAGGGUGUUGAAGGUGUGACAUGUCUUGGGGCAUUUGCUCUCUCCUUUUCGUACCCGAAGCAUUUAAGCCUCGUCAUUUAUUUUUUUCUUUCACCGCUUACUCCCCUUUUCUCACCUAAUUAGACGAUAAAACUAAAGCUAGUGCAUGUAAUAUUUUUCAAUACAUUCUACGAAACGAUUAUUAAGAUAUAAAUUGUCAUUCAGAAUCUCCUAUCUUUUUCUUUCACCUCUUGCUCCCCUUUUCUCACCUUAUUAGACGAUAAAACUAAAGCUAGUGCAUGUAAUAUUUUUCUAAUACAUUCUACCAAACGACUAAGAGAUAAAUUGUUAUUUAGAAUCUCCUAUCUUUUUCUUUCACCUCUUGCUCCCCUUUUCUCACCUUAUUAGACGAUAAAACUAAAGCUAGUGCAUGUAAUAUUUUUCUAAUACAUUCUACGAAACGAUUAUUAAGAUAUAAAUUGUCAUUCAGAAUCUCCUAUCUUUUUCUUUCACCCCUUAAUCCCCUUUUCUCACCUUAUUAGACGAUAAAACUAAAGCUAGUUUAUGUAAUAUCUUUCCAACAUUCUACCAAAUGACCCCUAAGAGAUAAAUUGAAAAUUUAGAAAAAGUUAUUCCGUUGCCGGGACUUGAACCCGGGUCUCUCGGGUGAGAGCCGAGUAUCCUAACCAACUAGACUACAACGGAUUUGCAAUAUUUCAUAGAGUGUUACUAUAUAAAGAAUAUAAUCUACAAAUCAGAAAGGUCAAAUUUGACUGCAUGUAAAAUGAAUCAUAUUCAAAAGUUGAAUGACAAAUUAUGAUAAUUUUUGUAGAAGAAUUUGAAUGCAUGAAGUUCAUUUAUUUUGUGUUAGUGCUUUGUUAAUAUCAAGGAGAAAAUGAAACAAUUUGUUAAAGUCAAGAAUAAAUGGAUCAAGAGUAUAUAAUAAUUAAUAAAUGACGAAAUAAAGCUAUUUUAAAUAGUAAAAAGAGCAAAUUUAGGCAUUUCCCCCGUUUAGAAUACUCCCCUUUUAUGAAAAGCCUUAAAGUAAAAGUCUAAUGACAAAGAAUAUCAUGAUUCAUAAUGAUAGUUAGGUCCCUGCUUAGUUUUAUACUUAUCUCUGUAUUAUUUCUAAUCAUUCCACUAUAAUACCAAAUUUUCAUAAUUGCACUCAGUGUUUAUACAAAAUAAUUAAUUUAGUAUUGAUCAUUAAAAAUCCAAACGAUGAUAAAUAUCACUUUUUUAAAAAUAGGAGCCGUGUAAUAUAAAAAUCCAUUGUCAUAAAUUAUGACGUAGGCUCAAUCAAGACAACCAGCCUAGGACACGGGCCUUCAUGAUUAAGUGAGAAAUUCGUAUAUAUAAAUUAAAUCUUUGCAUUCGUUUAAUAUAAAUAUGGAAUGGGGUAUAGUUUGAUCUUGGUGCCAAAUGGAUUUUGUAGAGCUAAAUAAUCAAGAAAUAAUAAAUGAAUAAGGACAUAUAAACAAAACAUUUUCUUUUAUACUAUAAUAAAUAAUAAAUAUUUUGCCUAAUGACUAGGUCAAUACAAUUUGCCAUUUGUGCAUUUGCUUCAUCAUUUGUCUGAUUGAUUAAUUAUUGUUGCUUCAGACCCACCAAUUCUUUAAUACUAAGAUUCUAUCUUCUUUUUAAAAAAAACUUGAUUAGUAUAGUCCAGACUGGCUUAACACUUAACCAACAUUCCCUUUUAAUAUGGCUUCCUAUAUACAUUUGUCAGGUAGUUACAGAGCUACAUUGACCCAAGAAAAAUUAAAUCUCCUUCGUCGAAAAAUUAUAUUCCAUGCAACUGAAACUUAUGUAUAGAAAGUUAUUAUUAUCUAUCUUGCUGUUUUUGCUAAUUGUUACUAUUACCUCUUUUUCAUUGUCUCACUCUCUUCAGUUGAGAGUCUUUCGGAAACAAUCUCUACCUUAUCAAGGUAGACGUAAGAUCUGCGUAUACUCCACUUGUGGCAUUACACCGAGUUUGUUGUUAUUGUUGUUGCAUUUACCUUCUCAUAUAUAACUUAGAUACAAAUACUAAAGAAAUCUAUGAACAAAUACUCUUGUGCUAACAAGUAGAAUCAAUUGUUGGAUAAUGCAAUAAAAUUCAUCCAUAGCCAUGUUCAAUACUAAAAAAUGAAAAAUCAAGGGGAGAACAUAGAACUUUACACUGGUGAACUUACAAGAGAUACAAUCCCUCAAAAGAGUCGGAAAAAAAGAAGAUUAAAGGCAACCCACAAAGAACUACAAGUCCCUAAAUAGUAAAAUACUGCCUUUUAAACAAAGAAUUGAUGGUCACAACUUGAAAGGAUUAUUGUACAAGGAGCAACAUGUUUCAUAAGCUAGAUAUAAUUCACACCAUGAACAUCUGAAAAACAUACACGCGUACGCGCUAGGCUAGGAAGCAGCAGGAGAGGAGGAGCCUUUAGAAUGGAUUCCGAACCACAUGCACUUAUCUUUCACUGCCUCAGCUUCACUAGCAUAUUCUUUAAAUCUGUACUCUUCUAGCUUGCUGGUUGGGGGUACUUUUCCUUCACUGUAACACUGACUGCAUAAGCUAAAAUGUGAUUUUAUCUCCUUAAAGCGAGACCCAAUGAUUGGGUAACGACAAGUUGCACAAACAUGGCUACCAUGACGAUUCCUAUCCCCCAUUUCAAGCUUCAGCAAAGUGGACAUUAUACCAAAACCCCAAUCAGGAUCAUCAAACAUUGCAGUGAAUUCUGCUAAAGACACUAAUGAUGUGUCCAUCUCCCCGUGAAUUUCUAGCAUUUCACUUGCUCCUUGGGAAGGAAUGUAAAUAGCUCUCAGCAGUUUAAUGUACCUUUGAGCAUCAGUUUUCCUUAUUUGGCUGCUACCCUCAUUCACAGGACGCCACAAAAGCGCCUCAUAUGCAAUGCGUUUUCUUUUGUCUGGUGAUCCUCCACAGACAGGAGCAAGAACAGCAAAGAACAUGCCCAGAUCCAGCCGACCUGAUUCUGACUCAUCUAAAACAGAGAGAACUUUCUGGUUAAUGGCUUUAACAGCACCUAUAAACGUUUCAGGCUUCAAGAAUUUAAGCAAUCUGUGCAGAAUCUCUUCCAGUGAAGCCUUGCGUAUUGACUUUUCAGGUACACCACCGGAAUAAGACAUUGGUACAUCAGUUUCAUUUAUUUCCUUCUUUAUCUGAUCAACAUCACAACGAUUAAGACGAGUAAUCCUCUGAAAACUUCUAAUAUCGAGAGCAGUAGAUAAAUCUGCUCUCAAUGUGGUUUUCUCACCCACGGACUUGAACUUAGAGGGUUCAACAAUGAUAAAGGCCUCCUCCCCAUUGCCACCACCAUUACCCUUCAACUUCUUUUUCUGAAGUUGUUUCAAAUGUGCUACUGCAUCAUGCAAUUCCACUCUGUUCGUCAUCUUCAGAGCUUCUUUCAAAGCUUUCUUAGCUUCCUCAGUUUCCCCAGCCCCCAAUAAAGCCACAGCCUUAUUGAGAUGUGCUCUCCAGUGAUUCGGCCAAACACUUAGUACCCUAGUGUACAUCUCUGAAGCACGCUGAUAUCUACCCAUAUCCAUGUAUAGUCCACCUAAAUUGUACAAGGCAUCAACAUGGCCAGGUUUCAAAUCAAUAGCUCUCUGAAACUCCUUGAUAGCAUUAUCAUCAUCACCCAUUGCGUGCAAUGCAGAAGCAAGAUCACAAUGUGCAUCAGCAUAGUCACUCUUCAUAUAGAUGGCCUCUUCUAAUGCCUUAACAGCUGCCUUAUACUCAAUAGCAUUAUCAUCAUCACCCAUUGCGUGCAAUGAAGAAGCAAGAUCACAAUGUGCAUCAGCAUAGUCACUCUUCAUAUAAAUGGCCUCUUCUAAUGCCUUAACAGCUGCCUUAUACUCACCCACGCCAAAAAGUGCACUACCCAAAAGUUUCAAAGCUCUAAUUGAGUUACUAAUUGAAUCACAAGAACUUUCAGACAUGGUUUUAGGUCUGAUUUGAGGGAGACGACAGAUAGAUGAAAAAUUGACUACAAAAUUAUGACCAACACACGAUAGAUUCGACAAAGACAAGGUGAAAUCGAUGAGACAAAGUGGAAUCGACGAAGACAAAUUGGAAUCGCGGCAACGACCAGGGUUUUGUUGUGAGGGAUACGCGGGGACCUCCGACUAGGGAAAAGGGACGAAUUUUGGUGUUUUAAUUAGGAUCCUUUUAGAGGAAUGAGUUGGACACAAAAUAGCAGCCUCUCUAUAAUGUUCACAGGCACUAAUAACCAUACCUUCGCCUUCAAGGGCAAUUCCCAAAUUCACAUGAAUCUGAGGAAGCAAAUAAGCCCACUGACUGCCGCCAGCUUCAGCAGCCUCCAAUGCCAGCAAGAACUCCUCUUUCGACUCACUAUGUCUCCCGAGCACAUACAAACAAUUGCCAGCCCUGAAAUGUGGCCUAACAUCAGCAGGCUGCAACUCACAAGCUCUCUUGAAGCUCACCAAUGCUUCCUUAAACAAAUGUUGAUCAUACAAAACCCUGCCAAUUGCCAUGUGACCAUCAAAAGCUUCUUCCCUUGACCUCGACCCAUCAGCCCUCGACCUCAACACACCCAACUCCUUCACAAACACAGCAUAGUCAUGUCCAGUCUCCUCCCAAUUAACCCGUUUAUCCGUAAUCUCAGUCGAAGGCCCUAAUUCCCUCGACCAACCUUCCGAAUAAACAUCAGAAUUAUCAUUCUUCAGCUUCCCAUCUUUCGAUUGUUUCGAUUUAAGCCUCUUGAUCAAUAUCUCAAGGUCAUCUACAAGCUUCCAAGUAUCAUCAAACACAAUGCCAUGAUUCGGAGAAGCUGCCCAAGCUGCAGUCCGCUGUUUCUUAUGCGGCUCCAUCACUCUCUCAUCCGCAAUCGACGACGACGAAGCCUCUUCCGCAGCAAUUGAAGUUCCAGCAUUAUCCUCCGGCUUAAGCUCAAGCCCAAGCGCGUCAAAAUCACGAUCAACAUCACCAGCACCAUCAUCAUAGGUACGCAAAAGUCCCUCAUAAGUAAGCCCCUUUUCACCAUCAAUAAACUCGCUGUACGUACGGAAAACCUCAUCGAGAAUAGCAUUAAUUUGCUCUUCGCUAAACUUAACCCUAGGGUUUACAGCGACCACCAAAGCUGCCAUUUCCUCUCGAUUAAGACCCCCAUCAUGGUUACCGUCAAAUUGCUGAAAAAUCCUCUUCACCUUCUCCGAUCUGCUUCCCCUCGAAGCCAUUUUCCAAAAUUAACGCCAAUUCAAGUACAAAUUCUAACCUUUCACGUAAUUGGGUGUCGAAAACUUCAGUCAAGAUUCAAACUUGGUGAAUAAAAGGUAGAGAAUCUGUAAAAAAUAGGGUUUUAUACUGAAAGCAAAAAAAGAUAGGAUUUUUAGGGUUAGGGUUUCAAAAGGAAGAUAAAUUAAGGAAAAUGGGAGAAAUAGAGAAAUGGGUAUUGAAAAAAGAUGAAUUUUUUGGUAGCAUUUGGAUCUGGAGAAUGAGAAAAGGGAAAAGAUGAAGAGGAAGAAGAAGAAGACAACUGUUUUCUGUUUACAUUUUUUUUUCCUUUUUGUUCUUCUUCUGAUUGUGACGAUAGGGAGUGGUGGUGGGGCAGAGUGACUGGAAAAUUUCAAAGAUCAUAGAAUUUUAUUUUUAUUUUUUUUGCUUUUUUUCAAUUUGUUUGGCUAAAAUAAGAAAAAGUUUCCAACUGUCAAAGAAAAAAAAAGGUAAUUAGUUAAAAAGAAAGUGAUUUUUGAGAUUUUACAUUUUAAUUGGUAGAUGAGAACAUGGGAGUUAAUUAUGAUUAGUACUGUAAUAAACACCAAACAUGUCAAUGUCAUGCAUUAUUUGUUUUGGUUAGGUUAAAGUUUAUCUACCUAGGGUAUUUUUAAAUUAAGAGGUUAAUAAUGUGUAUUGUUUAGUUCAUUUCUCAAUUUCUAUGUAACAUCAAUUAAUAUGAAUAUUGUGAUAAAAUAUUUAUAUCAAUUAUUAUUUUUAAAGAGUAUGUAAAAUUCAAAAUAGACAAAUAAAAAUGAAUGAAUUAAAGAAGACACGCUUGGUUCGAAGGUGAUGGAGGAAGUAUGAUUUAAUGAUAAUCAUGUUUGCAAAGGCUUAUAGUCUAUGCAUUUUAUUGAGUUGUGGUGAAUAUCCGAUGUGAAUAAUUCUUUACUAUUUUGGUGUGCAUAUUUAGUCAUAUGUUUUGUGAAAUCAUAUUUAACUUCUAACACAUUUUAUUACAUUUGUAAUUGUUUUCAUGUUUCAUUAUAUUUAUUUUGAUUACGCUUAUGAAGAGACACACAUUAAUAGUAUUAGCUGUUAAAUACGAAUGAAAUUUUGUAGUAGUGACUAGAUCUACGGUUUAUAAGUUUCGAACCGCUAUAAUGACUGAACCUAAUAAUACAAUUAUUAUAUCACUUCAAAUUUUAUAUUUAUUUUAUGACGAUUAAUUUACAUUUACAUCGAAAACUCUCUUUUGUUUAGAAAGUUAGUUCUUCAUACCUUUUCUUCAUAAAUUUUACCUUUUGCAUUGAGAAUGAAACAAGAAAUUUCUGGAUUACCCUUAGAUCGAAUUGAUUUUGCUGUUUAAUUUGGAAAAAAGAAAGUCAAAUUUAAAAGUGACAUAUAUAGAGAUAAAUAUUAUAUUUUCCUUGAAAGUUACACAUUGCAUUGUCAUAACCUUGUUCUUGUAGUUAACUUAUUCUUGAAAAUUAUUAUUAAUUAGUAUUAUUUCAGUGAUAUUGAUUGAUGAGUUGAGGAAUUAAUGAACAAAAAUACAACUCUAGAAUCUUAAAUCCCAAGUUUACUCACAUUAUGAAGUUUUCUGCUAACUUCAUGGCUGCCACUCAUCCUAUUUCUAUCUUCUAAUAAUUUUUAGUCAAUGUUGAAUGUUGAUCAUUAUUUAUUCAUGAUGUGGCAAGACAAUUAUCAUAAAUUAAAACUCUAAUUAUUAACUUGAAAACUAUAUUUCCACAACUUAUUUAAAUGGAACCAAAAUCAUAUCGAGACGUAGAAAUAAUCCCAGUAGUUCAAAUUCCCCUUUUUAACUACAUGAUCAUGAUCAUACAAUGUGCUUUAGUUUUCAUUUCACUAGAACAACACAAUUUAGCAACUUAGUCCUAUAAGUGGGAUCUAGAAAAGGCCAUAUACGAAAACUUUAUCCCCUAUCUGUAGCGUAGUAAACUAUUUCCGAUCAAACCUCCGCUUAAGAAAAACAAAAAACACAACAUUUAUGAAGUUACCAUUUGCAUAAAUAACUUAUUUUAAAAAUAUAUCCACAAAUGAAACAACAACAUGGACACCAUGUAAAGAGUGACCUUGAAAAAACCAAUAAGGAUUGUGAUGAAAUGGUAAGUAUUUCUUCAUCUUUAACCAGAGGUCUCGGGAGAGAACACUUUACCCUCAAUAUGAGACUUUCCAAAAUGAAUUUAAAUUUAGUCAAAUUCUAAUGUGAUAUCAAUUAUCGAGUGGAAAAUAAAAAACACAUGGACAUAAUGUAAAGAGUGACCUUGAAAAAAAAGCCAUAUGGUGCAAAUGGAUAAAAAUGUAAAAUUUUCUCAUUUCUAACGGUGCUUAUUUAAUUCCUUACAAAUUCCAGUUGAGUCGUUAUUGUUUUAGCGGUAGCUGUUUAUUUCAAAGCUCCGUACAAAUCGCUUAAAAAUGCAAACACAGAAAACAGUGAGCGUCGCAGAAAAAUUCUCAGCUCAAAUUUGUUACAUUUUCUCCACCAUAAAUCUCAAAUUCCGAGUUUUUAGCGUGUUUUCAGCUCACCCCAUUAUCUUUACAACAGCAAAUAUCAUCAUCUUCACCUCUCCUCCCAAAAAAAAAGAAAAAAAAUCAUCACAGUUUCUUCUUUUUCUUGCAUAAACCACAAAAUUUUAAUUGCUGUACUUUGGUUUGCCAAAGAUAAUUUUCAAAUACCACUACCAGCACAAAAGGUGAGCAAGGUGAUGAUUAUAAUAAUUUGAAAAAUAUAGAACUUUUUGUAAAUGAUUAUGGUUCACAGGUUCAGUUUGUGGGGUUGAGGUGUUUGAUGAAAUGCGUCUAAGAACUGCAUGUUUAUGAGCUAAAGAACAAUUUUUUAGGUGUUUUUUGUUACUGUUUUUUUCCUCAGUUUGUGGGGUUGAGUUGUUUGACAGAAUGCAUUCAAGAGUUGCAUUUUUAUGAGCUAAAGAGCCCAUUUUUAGGUGUUUUUUUAUUACUGAUCUUUCUCAGUUUGUGGGGUUGAGUUGUUUGACAAAAUGUAUCCAAGAAUUGCAUGUGUAUGAGCUAAAGAACCCAUUUUUAGGUGCUUUGAUUUCCAAAACUAUUUUGCUUAGUUUGUGGGGUUGAGUUGUUUGACAGAAUGCAUCCAAGAAUUGCAUGUUUAUGAGCUAGAGAACUCAUUUUUAGGUGCUUUGAUUUCCAUUACUAUUUUUCUCAGUUUGUGGGGUUGAGUUCUUGACAGAAUGCAUUCAAGAAUUGCAUGUUUCUGAGCUAAAGAAAAUAUUUUUAGGUGUUUUUUUGCAUUUUAUUUCCUGAUGUUCUGUUGUCUGAAUUUUGGCAGAUAAGAAGAUUAUAUACGAGGUUUCGAUCAAAUUAGGCAUAUACAGAGAGUAGGGAGGUGGUUAUAAGGCAGUUCCUCUCUUUUAAUACAAAGAGAGGGACCAUAUGAAGAUUUGUGAUUCAUUGAUAUAAUCUAUUUGCUGGUCCUCUUCAAGUGCAUUGAUUCUGGGGAAAGAAGAGGGUGCUAAAAAUGAGCUCAGUGUAUGGGGAGGAGGCAUCUCAAUAUGGUGAUGAUCACGGAUCAGUUGCACAUGAAGAGAAAGAGAAGAUUUUUGUUGCAGUUAGAUUGAGACCUUUGAAUGAGAGGGAGAUUACAUGUAACGAUGUCUCGGAUUGGGAAUGCAUCAAUAACACCACAAUUUUGUAUAAAAAUUCUAUGUCAGAGCGUUCAUUGUUUCCAACUGCUUGUGCAUAUGGUAAGCUUCUUCACAUUUUCAUUUUCCUUUGCGUUGUGCUUUUAUUUUUUGAAUUGAAAAGAUUCCUCCUUAAAAUUGGUAUAUGCAAUUGAACAGACCGAGUAUUUGGGUAUGAUUGCUCCACAAGGCAGGUGUAUGAGGAAGCCGCCAAAGGAGUUGCUCUUUCAGUUCUUAGUGGUAUUAAUUGUAAGUACUAACCCUUGUUCACGGUCCAUUUUCUUCACCUACGUAAUGAUGUUACAGUAAUAACGUAUGAAAUGUCUUUGCAGCAAGUAUCUUCGCAUAUGGACAGACAAGUAGUGGGAAAACGUAUACUAUGUCUGGAAUCACCGAAUACACAUUAGCAGAUAUAUAUGAUCAUAUAUGCAGGGUGGGUAAACCUUUCCUAUUCUCCUAUGCAAUUUAUUUAUGUUGUACAGAAUUCAGAGUGUCUGAUGCUUUUAAGGUACCUUUUUAUUUUCAAAAACUUUUAGACCGUAGACCGAGAAUUUACACUAAAAUUCUCUGCCAUGGAGAUAUACAAUGAAGUUGUUAGAGACCUUCUAACCCCAGAGGACACUCCACUUAGACUCCUCGAUGAUCCAGAGGUGAAUAUAUGUUUUAAGCAUGAUCAAGUUUUGUUUUAUUCACAGACAAUAUUAUGCAAGUAAGUAACCUCUUUCGUUUACAGAGAGGGACUGUAGUUGAAAAACUUACAGAGGUAACACUGAAGGACUGGAACCAUCUAAAAGAACUGUUGUCAGUAUGUGAAGGUAAAAGGCUGAGACUGCUAUAUAGUGUUUCCAGCAGGUUAAUAUGAUAUAACUUCAAUUGUUACCAUUCUUGCAGCUCAAAGGAAAAUAGGAGAAACUGCUCUCAACGAAGUGAGCUCAAGAUCUCACCAGAUUCUGCGUUUGGUUAGUGCAUUGGUUACAAGAUGGUUUAUGAAUAAUAAUAUAUAAAGGAAAUAUAUCAUUUUCUUAACUUGGACAAAUGAUCUUUUUGCAGACAGUUGAAAGUACCGCUAAGAAAUUUGUUGGCUUAAACUCAAGCACUCUGACAGCUGCAGUGGUGAGGAAAAUUACCUCUGCACAGACAUCACUUAGAAGGAUCAUUGGAGUCCUUGUAAGUUCCUAUGAAAAUGAUUGAUGGACAAUAUUUUGUUCUUUUUCCUGCAGAAUUUUGUUGAUCUUGCUGGAAGUGAGCGUGCUUCUCAAACCAUGUCAGCAAAUGUAAGAUUGAAAGAAGGCAGCCACAUCAAUCGCAGUUUGCUGACUCUUGGAACUGUCAUUCGCAAAUUAAGGUUGCCACAUAACUACAGUUUGCUGAGCUUCAAAUUUAUUUUUGUUUUGGCUUCUUCCUUAGAUCGCUAAAAGGCUAUUUCAAUAAGUCUUGUUCAUUGAUAUAUCUUUGUACUUUUAUCAGCAAAAAAGGAAAUGGACAUAUUCCUUUCAGAGACUCGAAGCUGACACGCAUACUACAGAAUUCAUUGGGAGGCAAUGCCAGAACUGCCAUCAUUUGCACCAUGAGUCCUGCACAUAGCCAUGUUGAGCAAUCCAGGAACACUUUGUUGUUUGCAACUUGUGCCAAGAAUGUCAUUACUAACGCAAAAGUUAACGUGGUAAUGUCAGAGAAGGCACUGGUGAAACAAUUACGAAAAGAACUAGCUAGAUUGGAAGCUGAGCUAAGGAGUUUAUCGGCACUUGCUGCCUCAGGUGGAUCUGCAGAGGCUCUGAAAGAAAAGGAGGAUCUGAUAGAAAAGGUAGCAAUGGUGACUUAACCUUCGCAAUAUCUAGUAUUCUGGGAAAAUCCUACAAUAUCUUUUCAUACAUUAUUCUUCAACCUAAUUGUGAUCUCUUAGGACUUCUCCAUCAUGCCUAAAAGACAUGCAAGACAAGAAUUGCUCCAAAACUAAAUGUCUCAAUGAUGAUUUAUCUUUUGGUUUGCUAUGGAUCUCAAAAACUUACUGUUUUAGCAUCAAACAUGUGAGUCUAUUAAUACAUAUGGCCGCUUUUUGGUGCAGUUUGGGCGCAGGACUUUAGUAUUUGUCAUAGAUGACAGUUCAGAUUCAGUGUUUCUCAAUGAUUAAAUAUUUAUCCAACUUCAAUUGCUUGAACUUCGAUCUAAGUAUAGUGGCUUUCAUUCAAGACAAGACAUCCAUAACCUAUUCCCUUUUUGUAUGAUGAUGCAGAUGAGCAGAGAAAUAAGGGAGUUAACCCAGCAGCGUGAUCUUGCUCAAUCUCGUUUUCACAAUUUUCCAAGUUCAGGGUCAUGGGUACGUGUAGUUAGUCUUGAAUGAGCUCAUAAACUUUUCAAUUCAUAAUAUACAUCAGGGAGCUUGAUCUGUUCUCUUUCUCAUGUAGACUGAACUGAGUAGUGUGUCAUCUCCUGAUAAGGCCCAAUGGCUGGAUGACUGUGCAGCAUCAGAAGUAUCAGAAUGUGUAUAUCCUUUUCGUCCUGAUGGCGCUGUAUAUCAAUAUGGCAGAUACGAAGGCCUUAAUUCUAACAAGCUAGGGGAACAGAUUCCUGAACCUCCAGAAGAUCAGUAUCUCUGUGAUGACACCUCCCCAAGGCUGUUUAUUGAGAAAUAUUUUGGACCUGAUCCAUGCAAGGGAUGGGAAAACAGUGCUCAAAGAACUGUUCAAAAUUUGGAAGAUAACUGCAAGGAAGUUCAAUGUGUUGAAGUGGAUUCAAACACGAAGAGUAUAAGCUCGGAUAAACAUUCAUCACCUCGAAAGGGAGAUCAGGAGUCGAGUUUCAUUGACAAAGAUCAUAACGAUAAAGAACCAAAGCAAACUAGCAAUCUGGUCGUGGAACACUCUUCUUCUUCUUCUUCCGACACAGAUUCUGACUCAAAUAACUUACCAAGGAGCAGAAGCAGUGAAGCAAUAAUGAUUAACGUGCCAGUAUCAGAAGGAUCUGAAGUAAUUAAGGAAAAUGGGGACAUAUCAAGUGAAUCUGAGGAAGAGUCAUCUAUUAAAAAGAUUGAUAUUGAGGAGAAAACUUCUCAACCGGAGCUUUCUGCUGAUAAUGUUAAGGUGUUAUCAAAAGAACACAACCACAGUUUCACGAUUGAAGUAAAGCUCAAAAUGUCAGGUGAAGACAGUGAGAAGAUUUGUGUUGAGGAACCCAAAAUGUUAGGUGAAGAUAGCACAAAAAUUUGUGCAGAGGGUGAGGUUGCCAAAUCUGUGCCUGAGAAGCAAUCAGGGGAUAAUUUGGUAAGUAGCUAACUUGCUGCUUGAGAUUAAUAGCUAGAACUGCACAUCCUCUUUAACACAAAAAAAUUCUUAAAUGCUCUGCUAGUGUAUACCCAUUUACAUACUUAGAUAAGUUCGUUAAGAGAUCAUAAGAAAUUAACUUUAUCUUGUUAGGUCCAGGAUAAUGAGCCAACCUCCAAGGACUUGGGAAACUUUGCCGGUGAUUCCUUGAAUUCAGAGAAUGAAUCAGAAUUAUCUCCUUCUAGACAGUGGAUGGAAUUUGAGAAACAAAGGCAAGAGAUAAUAGAACUAUGGAAUGCAUGCAAUGUGCCCCUUGUUCACAGAACAUACUUUUUCCUACUCUUCAAAGGGGAUCCAACUGACUCAGUUUACAUGGAAGUGGAGCUUAGAAGACUGUCCUAUCUUAAGAACGCAUUCUCUUUAGGAGCUAAAGUUGUGAAAGACGGUCAAAUUUUCUCACAGGCAGCAAGGUACUCAUUUAUAUCUUUUUAUUUUCUGUAGUUUUUGGAGAUUGCUUGCAUGGGCUGCUAUGUCUUAGAGUUCUUGUCCCACUUUCACAAGCAAUGAGACAAGACAAAAAUUUAAUAUAGGGAAAAUGGUCAAAAAUACCCUUCUACUAUCUGAAAUAUCUUAUUUUACUCUCCAUUACACUUUAGGAUCAUUCAUACCCUUCCUUAGCAAUUCGUCUCAUAUUUACCCAUGAUGAUAACGAAGUUCUAACAUGAAGUAUAACAAAGGGUAAUUUAACCAAAAGUAGAGUCUUAACACCUUUUUCCUAGAAGUAUUUUGACAUGUGAAGUCCACAUUAGAGCUCUGCUAAAGUCAAGGGCAAAUACGAGACAAUGUGCUAACAGCAAGGAUAUGAAUUAUCCAAAAAUAUAGUGGGGAGUAAGAUUAAGAUAUUUUGUACAGUAGAAGGGUAGAUUUCGAAGUUUUUUCCUUUAAUAUAUUUCAAGCAUGUAAAAUUCAUCUAUCUGAAAGUGUGAUAAAAUAUUGAUGCAAAAGUACUCUUAUCCUUUCGAACAGUUUAAAUGCUCUGAAUCGCGAGAGGGAAAUGCUGAGCAAGCUGCUUCUUAAGAAGCUUUCUUCAAAGGAGAGAGACAACCUAUACGAGAAAAGGGGCAUUGGUCUAAAAACUAAAAGGAGAAGACUUCAACUGUGUCAUCAGUUAUGGAAAGAUACCAAAGACAUGGAUCACAUUAAGGAAAGUGCAGCACUCAUCUCAAAAUUAGUUGGAUUCGAAGCACAAAACGAAGUCCCAAAAGAGAUGUUUGAACUCAACUUCUCACCAGGGCCAAAAAAUCUCAGGUCUUUCAGCUGGAAACCAAGAAAAGCCUAAUGUGAUCUUCUAAAGCAAAAGAUUUAAGGAUUAUUUGAAGCAUUGUAGUAGCUUCAAAAUGAAUUGACCCCCCCCCCCCCCCCCCCNNNNNNNNNNNNNNNNNNNNNNNNNNNNNNNNNNNNNNNNNNNNNNNNNNNNNNNNNNNNNNNNNNNNNNNNNNNNNNNNNNNNNNNNNNNNNNNNNNNNNNNNNNNNNNNNNNNNNNNNNNNNNNNNNNNNNNNNNNNNNNNNNNNNNNNNNNNNNNNNNNNNNNNNNNNNNNNNNNNNNNNNNNNNNNNNNNNNNNNNNNNNNNNNNNNNNNNNNNNNNNNNNNNNNNNNNNNNNNNNNNNNNNNNNNNNNNNNNNNNNNNNNNNNNNNNNNNNNNNNNNNNNNNNNNNNNNNNNNNNNNNNNNNNNNNNNNNNNNNNNNNNNNNNNNNNNNNNNNNNNNNNNNNNNNNNNNNNNNNNNNNNNNNNNNNNNNNNNNNNNNNNNNNNNNNNNNNNNNNNNNNNNNNNNNNNNNNNNNNNNNNNNNNNNNNNNNNNNNNNNNNNNNNNNNNNNNNNNNNNNNNNNNNNNNNNNNNNNNNNNNNNNNNNNNNNNNNNNNNNNNNNNNNNNNNNNNNNNNNNNNNNNNNNNNNNNNNNNNNNNNNNNNNNNNNNNNNNNNNNNNNNNNNNNNNNNNNNNNNNNNNNNNNNNNNNNNNNNNNNNNNNNNNNNNNNNNNNNNNNNNNNNNNNNNNNNNNNNNNNNNNNNNNNNNNNNNNNNNNNNNNNNNNNNNNNNNNNNNNNNNNNNNNNNNNNNNNNNNNUUUCCCCCCCCCCCCCCCACCUAAUUCAUGUAAAGUUUAGAAGUUUAACCUCCCCCAUAGUAUCUAAUUAUACACAAAAGAUGUCCCAUACUUGUACUUAAUACACCUUCUCCCUACUCAUCGACGAGCUUUAUCAAUGUACAUUAUGUAAAUUCAAUCCACAACCUCGAGAUCUCAAGUUCAGAGAGUCAUCCCUGUAUGUAGAUAUAAGUGGAAGAUAUAUUGCAGCUUAUAUGUAUGUAAAAUAAGACUCAAAAUCAUUGGGACAGCAUAGGAUAAUUGUCUUCAAAAGGCAUCAUAUUUUGCAGUUUUUUUGUUCUGGUUGGAAUAUAAACCCACAAAACCUUCUUUUCCUUCUCCUUGUAUGAUUGAUUUUCCUGGGAUACUUAUCAAUAUAUGCAGUUAAGCCAACUAGUUUACAAAAUUAUGUACAAAAAUGACCCAAAGUAUACACACCCAAUACGUUGUGUACAUAUUUUGUAAAUUAUAUCAUCCAAAGGCACUAGGGUGUAAGUUCCUGUAAAUAAAACGUCCUUAAAAGGAAGCGAUAAAAACAGUAACUUAUCCAUCAUACUUAACAGUAAUCCAGCAACAACCUUUGGUUUCAUUAUAGCAUUUAACUCGAGAUGAAUCCUGAUCAUUUUUUCGACUACACUCAGCAAUUCUAUGAUCGAAACAGAGGUACAUUACAAUUAUGCCAAAACUAACCAUUUACCUGACUUUGACAGUAAAGCAAAUUAAACAAAAAGAUGCACUUUACAUGAAACUUUGUAAACAUAUACAUCCAUUAUCGCGAUUUAAGAACGGCUCCUUCCACAAUUUUCCAACCGGAGUUUGCCCAGGACAUGUCGUACCUAGUUGUAUAGAUAGUACUGUAUGAGUCAUUGUUCUCCGGAUGGGCUACAUCAGUUAAGCUUGCUGAUUCCUCCAGAGUAGCUUCCACAGUAGCACGUCGGCCAUCAGCUGAGACAGUCACACUGUCAAUGGCAAGGUUUAAAAGCUUGUACUCCCAAAACCAACCAUGCUGCGCAAUUUCUGUUGCACGGUCUGUCCAAAUCUUCAGCAUCUGACCAUCCAAAACCUGUCAUUUUGAACAAUGUUGUCAGGCAAAAUACAAAGAUGACACCAGAAAUUGAUAAGAGGUGGAUAAGCUGCAUUUGGACUACAGCAAACAAAAAAAAAGAUGCUGGGUAGUUCCUCAUGGAGCAACUAAACAAUUGUUUGUCUAGUACUUGUACAGCAAAACAACUCGUGUUGAGCAGCUGAAUUCUACAAGAAAUCAUUUGGCUCUUACAAACAGUUGUGCAUAUGGCAUUUUGCUAUAAAGAUAAUAUCAUAACAUUGUAUAGAAAUUGAAAUAGAGCAGCUAACACACAAUCCUACCCGUUGCUUUGGCAGGAAGUAAAAUCCAUUAAGAAUUGUCUCAAGGCAUUCAGGUUCUAUUGCCUUUCAUGUCAUACUAGUGAAACAUAAUCAACACUAUAAAAAGAAAGGCAUUACAUAUUCAUACCUCUGACAAUCUGUUGAGACAGUGAUCGGUUCCAAGAGACUGGGACUUGAUAUUCUGCCACUUCCGAACUAUACUUUCUGCAAGCCUUGCAUCCAUUCUAGGAACCUCAAGAGGAUUUUCAACUGGUGAGGCAGAGGCAUCUGCAGUAGCAGAUAAAAUUUCUGAAAUUCAGAAGAAAGGGAAGGUUGGAGAAAGAAAGCAGAACUGAAACCCUCACAAAAGAAUUUAAAAGAACCCCAGACUCAAGAAAAUAUAAUAAUAACAAUAACAGAAGAAGAUAAUUUUUAUUAGAUAGCUGUACAACUACCACUUGUAACAAAUUAUUAGAAAUUUUCUCUCGAAUCCAGGUCGUUGAAUGAAGCAGCAGAGAAAAGAAAAAGAGCAUGGCUCCAUAGGUCAUAUUUGGCGAACCCCGAGAGUUAUUUAGAAACUAAAAUGGUCAGUGAGUCAUACCCACAUUGAUGACAUCCGAGGCAAUGGCUGAACCAGUAGCACUAGCACUAUGUUGAACUGAAGACCCAUGUCUAAAGGAAGAAAGCUUCAAUCCAACCAAAGUCAAGAACCCAAUCGCUACUCCAGCACACAUAAUCUUCACACUUGCAUCUUUUAUUCUGUCAGUUAUCACAUCUUGCUCUUGAUAGUUAGAACUCUUUCUCUCAGGAUCCCCAACAGUCGUGAUAAAAUUAUUUUGAUCACGGAGUUCUCCAAGAUCCUCAAAUGGCUUGGCAAUAUCAAAUUCGUUCAUCUCAUUGUCGCCAUAUCGUCUUACGCUGCCUUCCCCAUCACCAGCAGGAAAAACUUUCUGUAAUGCCUGAAUUGCACUGGCCUUAACACUAUCAAGCACAGCUGUAGCUUCAGCUCCAAUCCUUGCAAUAGCUGCAGCAGCAGCUAAAGGUGAAGCACCACCACCUUCCAGCCUUUCCAAAUAUCUUAAAACAGUAGGGUCAUCAUAAUAGUCUCCAAGCUUGAAAGUGACAUCUUCUGUCUCUCUAAAUCUGGGAAAGACUACUUCCAUCAACCAAGUCUCCAAAAGCUUACAUAGUCCAGGGAGCAGAUCAUUUUCGUUGUCAUCCUUCGAGUGUUCUGCAACAAAAGUCACUAUAGAUGGAUCUCUAUAAGGGGAGUCCUCACUGUCUAGGCCCAACCAUGAGCGACAUCCAUCAACUUCUCCAACAAGCAGUGAACAAAGGCCCCUCUCCAAAGCGAAGUCUAUUUCACGGUUUUCUCUAACAGUGUAGACAGACACAGAACUGCCGUAAGCUGUAACUUUGGUCUGCUGAAGCUGCUGAAAAAGGUUAUCAGCAUCUUGAAUGAGAUGAGGUUUUUUUCCAACAAAAGCUUGAGCAACAAGUGCAAGCGCAACCCCAUAAACUUCAAAGCUUUCUGCAGGAAUGUUACUUGGCGUUGCGACGAAGAGGUCCACCUUUUAAAAAGAAGAAGAGGAAAAUGAAGAAAAGGAGUGAAACGAACAGUUACAAAAGAAACCAAAAAUAUAUGAAUGAAGUUAAGCCAACCUGUUCAGAAGCUGUCAUCUGUAGGAAGGCCUCAUUCAUGAAAUCUUCUCGUGUGAACCCCCCUGAAAUUGCAGCUGCUCCUCCUCCUCCAACAGCCCACAAAAUAUUGCGCACACCUUGAAGACCCUCUGCUCUUUUCAUUCGGUAUUCAUCACCAAGAGGAAAAGCUAGAAGUUCAAGUACGUAGCGUGGAUUUAUCUCUUCCAACGUCUCAUCUAUCUGGGAUUGCAGAUCAAGGGCAAGAUUACUUGCACCUUCUUCCUAGAAAAUGAAGGCAGAAAGUUCCUCAUUAUUUGCUCUUCACUGUAAGCUUACAAUUCUCCCCAAAAAAGGCAUGCAUCAGCAUUCAAGCAGACGAGAGGGAAAGAAAUAGUGCACAGGCACACACACCAUACACACAAACAUUACCAAAAACAAACAAUAUCUAAGACUAUUGAAUGAUGAAUGACCAAGAAGAGCGCUACAGACGAGAGGGAAAGAAACAGUGCACAGGCACACACACCAUACACACAAACAUUACCAAAAACAAACAAUAUCUAAGACUAUUGAAUGAUGAAUGACCAAGAAGAGCGCUACAGACGAGAAGGGAAAGAAACAGUAGCAACAGGCAACACACACCAUACACAACAAACACUUAACCAAAACAACAAUAUCUAAGACUAUUGAAUGAUGAAUGACCAAGAAGAGCGCUAUACUCAUUAAUAGGUAAAUCAAAAUGAAGUUAGCAAUCAGUACAACGAUACAAACCCUCUUCCACUACUAGAGUAGUUUGUUAAGAGACAUUUGCAGCUGUAAAUAAGCUGUAGUCAUAGUGCAUAAACUAAAGAAAACAGCUAUUUCCAUGUGUGUUCCCUUUAUAGAAUUUCAAAUAUACCAUCACAUUCACUCUAACUUACUCAUAUCAUCAGAAGUCACUAUACCUGUAACAGCUUAAGUGCUCUUUCAAGCAGUUCACAACCUUGAACAAAAUCAGGAGGUGAAAGUGCCAUUGCAUCUCGCGAAUGGUCAACAUAUGCGAGUGCCAUAGCCAAGACCACAUCUUGCUUGAAUGACUUUGGCAUCCGCUCUUUCAGCAAGCUUUCCCCAAUCUGAAGAACUACUUCAGUCUCACCAGCUUCUUGCAAAACACACAUUGCUCCCGGAACCUGUAAAAGCCAUGACAUUCUUUUAAAUUCUUUGCAUCCCACUAAAACUUUAGAAUAUUUAAGUUUUAUAACCAACCCAGGUACAACUUUUAUUACACUAUCAGUUAGUUAUGCAUUGAGAGCUAAUUACAAGUAAUUUCUAGCAGUAAGUGUAGACUGAUAAUCUGGAAAAUAGGUAAGUGACAUGCUACAACAGGUUAAAUUUACACUGGUCAUGUACAAAAAAAUUUCUUUAAUUUGCACAACUUAUACAAUUACCUUUACCAAUAGUAAGUGUGGUUUGGUAAUCUGGAAAAUAAGGAAAGCAACAAGUAACAACUCAUUAAACUACAUUGAUCAUGUUGUUCUCACUGUAUAAAACCUUUUCUUAUAACCGCGGAAUUAGUUUUGGCCCAAUCCUUAGGAACAACGCAGCCUUCAAAACUCAGAAAUAAAGGGCCCGUCCCUCUAUCCUUCUCCACUUAAAUACUAGGCUUAGUUCGCAUAGCUGGAACCUAUGACCCAAAUUACAAGUCCCUCAACCUUUGCGACUUGAACUAAGCCUAGACGCUCUCAUUGUAUAUAACUUAAAACUACAAACUUCUACAAUUUAUUCACUGCUACUUGCAAUUGGUAAUUUGGAAAAUAUAAUAAGCAACAUGCUACAAUUAUUAGCUAUAUACAGAUAGUAUAUAAUUAAACCAGGCAUCUAAGAUCAACCUGACUUACUUGGGGAGCCUAAGUUAACACAAAUAAACUUAAUGCCGAACAUAAAUCCAAGUUUCAAACUCCCUGUAGCACUUUUCAAUUAACUAAAAAAAUAUUCAAUUAAGAAUGCGGGCAGUAAAUAAAAAAAUGGAGUACUUGAAGGUAAAAUGGUACUUUAUCCCAGGGGACAGGAGUUAGAAUAGUAUCGAACUCAUGCUGAGCGAGGCCUUGAUUGUACUCUCUACGAGAGGUAGAGUCAACAAGGGUUUCACAAGCAGCUUGAAGAAUCUGCCGUCGGCCAAUCAAUGCUUCCUGACUGUAUCCGUACUGCGGAGGCUUUGUAAUUCUAGCAUCGUAGCAUCUCCUAAUACCGUCACCGAGGAAGUGAGCUUCAGCACCAAGCACUCUAUAAAAGUCUAUAGGCAUUGAAAUGUGGCGGUCUGAAGGAGCAACAGGAGGAGGAAUAGUCGUAACGGAGGUUGUAGAAGUUGAAUUCUGGAAAUCCGAUGAGUCGGAGGUGGUGGUGGAAGGAAGGAAUUGGAAAUCGGCGAGAAGACGAUCCGCCCAUUUACUAGCGGAGAAGUUAGUAGGUAAACUACUUGUUCCACCGGUAACACUACUAGCUCCUCCGUUAACGGCAUUGAGUCUCGGCGGCUUCUUACCACCGGCGGCGGCUAGUUGAAAUGGUGAUGAAAGGCGUGGAGUACAAAUGCCAAAGCUUAGCUGUGUUAAUGCCUCCAUUGGUAAGGAAGCUUUCAAAAUGUGCUCAUAAUUCAUUGUUUUUACCUCUUUCAGAUAUUUUUUGCUCACUCGUAAUGCAAUUGGGCCGACUCUUUUGAUAUGGGCUAGACACUUCUUGUUAUUGGGCUUGGAAACUGGAUCUUAUGGAUGGAUAGUGGAUAGGCCCGUUUCAUUUGAAUGAUUAGAUGGAUGUAAUGUUCCAAUUGCACGGUUUGCUCUUCAAUUUUGAACUUAUCUUAGCGGUGCAUAAUUUUUGAAAUAUUAUGAUGCGAAAAUUUAAAUGUAUGUCCCAAGAAAAAGUUAUUUAUUUUGAGGGCUAAGAAUUAAAGAUCAACACAAAAUAAGGACAAAACUGCAAAAGACACGUUCUAACUCAACAGUUAAAGGGUUUAUUAUGGAUGAAAUUGGACGAAUUGUGCUUCAAAUGGGAUGUUUUAUAAUCUUAUGUGGAGGAAAAUGUUUUAUGGAAAAUCUAUUUCGUAUUGAAAAAUGUUUGUGACACAUAUAACAACUAUAUUAUAUGAAAAUAAAACACGGUGUUUUGACGAUCGUAAAAUUGGUAAAGAAAAAAAACAAACAAAUAGAGCUUUAGAAGUUACUUGCAAUGUUAAUUAAGCUGACCACUUCUAUUUGACAAACACAAAAAACCAGAUGACAUGGAACAUAUCGCCAUUGACAAAACAUGAAGACAACUUCAAUCUCACAUUCUGCAAGUACAACAAUAAAAAGGACAACCUUAAAUUUCUUUACAUUAAAGGAUCGGAAUCAAAAUCUCUCUGUACUUUUUAUUAUCAUCGCGUUUACAUCAAACCAAAUUAAGCCAUGUUACUUUGAUGUGAAUAUUGAAUCUGAAUAAGUUUGAAUAUUGCAAUAAUUUCAUUGCUAUUCCUUCCUAAUAAUUAGUGGGUUGUCCCAUUAACACCACUAAGUAUUUCUUUUGUCAUAGUCGACAUUUAUAGUCAUUUGAUUGACUCAAAGCAUGCACUUUUUAUAAUUAACAACAUCUUAAUCAUGGUCCCUAAUCUUAUUUACAAUGUGUCGUUAUCUUUUUUUUCUUUUUCUUGAAUACAUCAUUAAAAUAGAGACUAUUAUUUCACCAUUCCACCUAAUUGUAUGAGUAAUACCAUCUUAAUAUAAUCAUUUGGUUACGUGAGGAGUAAUAGUAAUUACUUUUAAGUAUUAAUAGCGAAAUCAAAAAUUUGAAUAAAAGGAUUCAAAAGUUAACAGUUCUACAAAGAAGUUAUUGAUUCAAUUGAACCCUCUUCCAUGGUUCUGGCUCCGCUGCUUACUUCAAGGAGUAUUAUAAAUUUAGUUACUCUUAUUCAUGUAUUAGUAAUACAUGCACUUCUCAUCCUCCGUAAGAUAGCAAGCGACUUUCAUUUAACUGAUACGAGUAUAUAGUUUACACAUAAUUUUUAUGAUGAAAUUAUUUUUGGUAGUGUGGCAAACCAAGAGACCCCAUAUAGACUAGAGAUAAACGAGAAAUGCUACUAUUAUUAGGAUGUUUGGUUUGUUAGAAAUGGUUAUCUAUUUUUGGAGUGACAUAAAUAAUAUCAAUGUAUAUCUUUUGUACUAGUAACUACAUCUAUGUAUACUACUUAAUUCUCCCCUAUCUACAUGAAACCAACUCAACAUAUACCAUAUCUCAACCAUAAGAAUUUGAGUAGUGGGUGAUAGUGAAGAGUGGUCCAAAGAAUAUUGUUUAUUGCAUUCAACUUCCUCACAUCUUAAAAGUGAUAUGGAGUUGAAAGAGGCAAUGACAAUGGAACAAGUGGACACACCACCAUAAAAAGUUGUGAUGAAAUGAAUAGAAUUUCUUUCUUAACAGAAAUUUUGGAUUUGAGCUUUAGGCCGGAAUAGAAAAAAAUCUAGUAGUGAGGAGUAAAUUGCACGGAUACUUGAUUUUGACGUUUGCUCAGCUUUUUUUUUAUUAUUAUUUUGCAUGUAUACACAUUUAGGAACAAGUUCAAAUAAAGUUAUUCUUGACAAAGUCUUAACUUCCGACAUUAUGUCUAAAGUUUCAUAUGACUGAAGUUCAAACGCAGUGUCAAAAUAGACUGUUGGAAGAUAUAUAUUGUUUCUCCUAUUGUGUCUGAAGUUUCAUACGAUUAUUGAAGUUCAGACACACAUGACGACGUCCUAGCAAAUUGUCUCGUGAAAUUUUUAUCGUAUGGGGCUGGUGUUUGUCCUUUUAAUAAUUCAACGCGACAUGAGUCCAAAUUUAUCGAGAUACUAGUGCAGAUAUUGAAUAUCGGGUAGCAAAAAAGAGAAAUUAAAAAAGUGUAAUUGGACACGAAAUUUAGAGAGGCCCCGAAUUGAUGAUAUUGAUUGCAAAAAUGAAAAGAAAAAUGGCUUUAUUUAUUAAUCAAUCUAAACUUUAAAGAACAUGUAUAAUGAAGAAAUCAGGCUAAAGGAGUGAACAUCGGCUUUAAUGUUUGAUCCUAAUUACGUGACCCUCUCAACUAGAAAACACAAAGAAUCAAGUCGCAUUUAAUCAUUUCCAAUUGCUAUUUAUAUUGUCAAUUAAUCAUAAAAUUAUUUUGUCAAAAGCCGCAGAAAGGUAGUAAACCCUUCUUUUCAGCCCCUUUUAAAGACUACUUUUUUCAUGAUAAAUUAUAUUAAUUGAGUAAUCUAAGAAGUAAAAACAUGUUAAAAUGUCCCUUAGUUGAUGAGUACGAAAAAAUUAAUGUUACCGCACGUUUUGUCUUUGAAUCGAAGGUAUAUCCAAAAUAACUUUUCUAUUUUAAGGUAGGGGUAAAGUUUAUAUAUACUCUAUCUUGCUUAGAUUCCAAAUUAUCGAAUAAUAUAUUGUUGUGAAUAUUUAUCCUUGUAAAAGGUGCACAUAUAUUAUGUCAAUAAGAACAAAUAUAAUCUAUUUUAAUAAAGAUAAAAAUAAAUUCGACUCAAUAUCUAUUUGUAAAGUUUGAUGGCAAAUUUAUUUUCUUUGGAAUGUAUCUCCCCUUGGAUACGUUUAUCUAAUUUAUGUACUAUUACAUAAGAUUAAAAUUUUGUUGUAUAAAUAAAUCACUUCCAUCAUAUUUCUACUGUUGAGAAUAAAAACAAUUUUCUGGGAAGAGGUAAAAGGGAAAACAGACCAACAGAAAGGUAAAUGUAAAUAUAAAAAGAGAAGCUCAUAGGCACCUACAAAGGGUAAAAGUUAUCCAAAUAUAAUUACACCAAAUCAAUAUAUAUAUAUAUAUGAUUAUAAAGUUUUUCUAUUUAAUUAUAUAAUUAAUUAACAGAUAAAUUUUUACAUUAAAUCACUUAAUUAUGAUUAACUAUACUCUUUUUCUAUUGAGUCAACGUUUAUGGAAAACAACCUCUCUAUACCAUAAAGAUAAGAUAAGGUUUGAAUAUACUCGUACUUGCUAUUGUUGUUGUUUGUACCCCUCCCUUACUCAAUUUAUUUAUUAUUUUUCCAUUUUCAUGAUUUAACCAGGUAAAUAUCUAUCAAUAUUUUAAAAUAUAUUUUUUAUUUACUGAUAUAAAAAGAAUUAUAAUUUAUGAUUUUGAAAUAUCAUUUUCAAAUAUCUAAAUUUUAAUAUUAAAAUAAUAAAUUAAUCUAAUCUACUUUAGCUUUAAACCUUAGCGAUCAACCAUAAACACACAUGAAGAUAUUGACUCUUACUAUCCCUAUAAAACAAAAAUAAUCAAAUUGACUAUCGGAAAUAUAAAAAAAUGCUUCACUAAUACAUAAAUUAAGACAAAAAGGGAUUGUUUGGUUGUGAAUUAACUAUUUAACAUAAGUUAUCUCAUCAUAUAUAUAUAUAUGAUAACUUAUUUUAUCGGUGUAUUAAAUGAAGAAAUAAUUACUUUCAAUUAAAGAAUAAGAUAAAACAAUCCUACAUUUUAUUCGAGAUCAUUAUACUUUAUGCCUAAUAGUAAAUGACUCCAAAGAGUAUUAAUUUAUCGUAAAUAUCGAAUGAAAUAAAUAUUUAGUCCCAAAAGCCACAGUGCAUAGCUCAACACAUGGCGUUAGUCUUUGUCAGUGCUGCUUCUUCUUCUCCUUCUGAAACUGAAACUGAAACUUUUUUUUUUUUCAGCUCAUACGCUCCUCUCUUCCCCACUUCCAUAACAAACUCCAUUAACACCCACCAUUCUUGAUUUUUCCCCCAUUUGAUCUUCUUCUUCUUCUCUCUAUCAUUACUCACCACCACUCUUUCUCAUGUCAACGGCUACUUUUCUUCUCUCUCCGCCAUUGGUGGUGGUGGCACUUACAUUGCUAUUUUCCUGUGUUUUUUCCAUGGCCGAAAACGUUACAGAGACGGAAAUGGCAGCCUUAAUGUCGUUCAAACGGAAUUUGGAAGACCCACUUGGGGUAUUAGACGGUUGGGAUUUUUCUACCUCAUUAGCUCCGUGUGAUUGGCGUGGGGUUCUGUGUGAUGCCGGCAGAGUUCGUGAACUCCGCCUACCUGGGUUGCAGCUGAGUGGACGGCUAACUGACCAGGUUGGUAAUUUACGCCAGCUACGGAGGUUAAGCCUACAUUCUAACAACUUUAAUGGCUCUGUCCCACGCUCUUUAGCUCAAUGUGCUUUGCUACGCGCUGUUUACUUCCAUUACAACUCUUUUUCCGGUGAACUCCCGCCGGCUAUCUCGAACCUCACUAAUCUUCAAGUUUUAAACUUUGCUCACAACUUCCUUUCCGGUCAUGUCUCUGGUAAUGUUCCAGCAAGUCUCCGGUUUCUCGAUCUUUCUUCUAAUCUCCUCUCCGGUGGCAUUCCGGGUAACUUUUCAGUUGGUUCUCAGCUCGAACUGUUAAAUUUGUCGUUUAACCGGUUCUCCGGUGAAAUUCCGGCGAGUAUCGGAGCUUUACAGAAGUUAGAGUAUCUCUGGCUUGAUUCUAACCAACUUUACGGCACUAUACCUUCAGCAAUCUCUAACAUUUCCACAUUAAUACACUUGAGCACUAGUGAUAAUCAUCUGCAGGGAUUAAUCCCGGCAACAAUCGGUUCACUUUCCAGUUUACAGGUAAUCUCAUUGUCGCAAAAUCAACUAUCUGGUGUGGUCCCUGCAUCAUUUUUCUGUAAUGGGUCAGUAAAUGCUCAUGCUAUUAGGAUCAUUGAGCUGGGUUUCAAUGCAUUCACGGGUUUAACUAAACCUGGGAAUGCAACAUGUUUGAGUGCUUUAGAGGUCUUGACCCUUCACGGGAAUCACAUUAAUGGUGUUUUUCCUGAAUGGUUGACGAAUUUUUCGUCGUUGAAGGUUCUUGAUAUCUCCGGGAAUGCAAUUUCUGGAACUCUGCCAGAUGAUAUAGGGAAUUUAAGGUUUCUUGAGGAGCUUAGACUGGGUAACAACACAUUAACUGGUGAUAUUCCUGCUAGUAUUGUGAACUUUGGUUCAUUGGGGGUACUUGAUUUAGGUGGAAAUCGGUUUUCUGGAUUGAUUCCACAGUUCUUGGGUAAAUUGACAGGGUUGAGAAUGCUGUCUCUUAAUGGGAAUCGCUUUUCUGGUUCGAUUCCGGAUAGUUUGGGGAGUCUUUAUCAGCUGGAGUUUUUGGAUUUGAGCAUGAAUGAUUUGAAUGGGAGUUUGCCUCAAAACCUUAUGUUGCUUAGCAAUUUGACUAGUUUGAAUUUGUCCAGCAACUUGUUUUAUGGUGAAAUUCCAAGAGGAAUUGGAAGCUUGCAUGGGUUAGAGGUUUUAAAUGUUAGCAAUUGUGGGUUCUCAGGGAACAUUCCGACUAGUAUCGGAAGUUUGUUGAGGCUGACAACUCUUGACGUGAGCAAGCAAAACCUAUCUGGUGAAUUACCCUUUGACAUUUUCGGGUUGCCAAGUCUACGAGUUGUGGCUUUACAAGAGAACAUGUUAACUGGGGAUGGUCUGGAAGGUUUUAGCAGUUUAUCUGGUCUGGAAUAUUUGAAUCUGUCAUCUAAUGCCUUUUAUGGACAAGUUCCGAAGACAUAUGGUUUUCUUACAUCCUUGAAAGUUCUUUCUAUGUCUAAAAGUGGUAUUAAUGGCUCAGUUCCAGCAGAGUUGGGUAACUGUUCCGGCCUUCAAGUGCUUGAGCUUCGAGGAAAUAAGUUAACAGGUCAAAUUCCGAAGGAUUUCUCACAUUUAUCUCAUCUAAGGAAGCUUGAUUUGGGCCACAAUGGAUUAACCGGGGAAAUCCCUGAAAACAUCUCUAAUUGUUUAUCUUUGGCUACUCUCUUGUUGGAUUCUAACCAUAUCUCAGGUCACAUACCAGAGUCGUUGACGAAAUUAUCAAACUUGGAAAUGCUGGAUCUCUCUUCAAAUAAUUUGAAUGGAUCAAUUCCUUCAAGUCUGUCCCUGAUUUCCAGUCUGAAGUAUUUGAAUAUUUCCCAUAAUCAUCUCGAGGGUGAGAUUCCAGAGGCAUUGGGUUCUCGGUUCAAGGACCCUUCUUUGUUUGCUGCGAAUAAUGCUUUGUGUGGAAAGCCAUUGAAGGAGUGCAAUGACGGUAAAAGGAAAAGAAAGAAGUUGAUCUUAUUCAUUGUUUUGGCUGCUGUAGGGGCCUUUUUCGUGGCAGUGUGUUGUUGUGGGUACAUCUACAGCCUUAUACUUUGGCACAAAAAGUUAAGAGGUUCAGCUGAAGGGAAGAAGCGAAGCCCAGGCCGUGCGAGUUCAGGGGGAGAAGGGGGCCGUGGAAGUGGAGAGAAUGGAGGUCCAAAGCUUGUUAUGUUUAACAACAAGAUCACUUAUGCAGAGACUUUAGAAGCGACACGACAAUUUGAUGAGGAAAAUGUGUUGAGCCGUGGAAAGUAUGGCCUAGUAUUCAAAGCCACUUUUGCAGAUGGAAUGGUCUUGGCUAUCCGCCGCCUUCCUGAUACAUCAAUCGAAGUGAACACAUUCCGCAAGGAAGCUGAAUCCCUCGGCAAGGUGAAACAUCGCAAUCUGACUGUUGUUCGUGGAUACUAUGCAGGACCACCACCUGAUGUUCGAUUUGUUGUAUACGAUUACAUGCCUAAUGGAAAUCUUGCCACACUUUUACAAGAGGCAUCGCAUCAGGAUGGCCAUGUGCUCAAUUGGCCAAUGCGCCACCUGAUUGCUCUUGGCAUUGCUCGUGGCUUAACUUACCUUCAUUCAGUUUCAUUGAUCCAUGGAGAUGUAAAGCCACAAAAUGUAUUGUUUGAUGCAGAUUUUGAAGCUCAUCUUUCGGAUUUUGGUUUAGAUAAACUAAGCCUAGUAGCAACUCCAGCAGAGACUUCAACAUCUUCCACCUCAGUUGGAACUCUAGGCUACAUAGCACCUGAAGUGGCAUUAACUGGACAACCCACAAAAGAAGGUGAUGUAUACAGUUUUGGGAUUGUAUUGUUAGAGAUACUAACAGGAAGAAAGCCAGUAAUGUUCAAUGGGGACGAGGACAUUGUCAAGUGGGUGAAGAGACAACUACAAAGAGGCCAAAUUUCAGAAUUGCUCGAGCCGGGGUUGCUUGAACUGGAUCCUGAAUCAUCAGAAUGGGAAGAGUUCUUGUUAGGAAUCAAAGUUGGUUUGCUUUGCACCAUGCCUGAUCCUCUUGAAAGACCAUCGAUGACCGAUAUUGUAUUCAUGCUCGAAGGCUGCAGAGUUGGUCCUGACAUUCCCUCUUCAGCUGAUCCUACAACUCUUCCUUCACCAAUGUGAUAUGAAAAUUCAAUUCUUUGCAAUGAAAUCAAUUUGCAAGAAAAUGUCCUUCAUUUUUCUCAGUUCAAUAUUGUUCAUGCAUUUCUUCAAUGUAUUGCUACUCCAUUCAUUAUCAUUUUGUUUGUACAUUGUUCAUUCAAGAGUUGGCUGGUUUUGUGCAAGUAUUAUAUUUCAAGUCUAUUUUCUUAAUGGCUUUUGCAACCCUUUGAUUCUUUUCUGUUUUUAUAAAUAAAGAUCUCACCAUUGUGAAUUGGGACAACUCCUAUAUUUAUUUCUUAAUUAAGGAGCAAAUGUAUAGUUUCAUUAGGCACAUGUUCAUGAUAAUGUGUGAAUCAAUUAAAUAGAUAUCACCAACCAUUACAAGUUUACAACAACAACAAUAAACCCAGUGUAAUCUCAGGUCUAGAGAAGGUAAAAACUAAAGUGUAUUCAUAUCUUAUCAUUAUGUUUUUGAAGAGAGACCGUCUUCAAAAGACCUUCGGCUCAAGCAAAUCAAAGCAUUAACCGAAUGAAAAGCAUAACAACUAAUAGCAAAUCAAUGUGAAGCAUAUAUGCAAGGAACAUAUGUCACCAGGACUUUCACUCAUAAAACUUCAAAACUUUUCCAAUUAAUAUGGGUUCAAACACAACUUCAAAUUCCAACUUAUGAUGUACCUCGUGAUAUAUAAUCAUAUGAAUAUCUAUAACUUAUUUUUUAUCACAAAUUUAAAAGACAUUUUUUCUUGAUUAAUCUUUGUUUUUUUGGGGGACGGAGAAUACAAUAUAAUUCAAGAAAAACAAAUAGAGUACAUCAUUACUUGUAUGGUUAUUAAUUAUGUUGUGUAGUUAUUAAAGUGGUAUGUAUGUAUGUAUGUAUGUACUUUUUUAUAAUUCAGAAAUCAGGGAAUCAAGUGGGACCAAAAACAUGAAUUCCCGCCAAAAGAGUAAUGAAAAGAACAAAAAAUAGAUAGAAUAGGUACAAGUGGAAAAUACGAGUAUUAUAAAUAAGAAAAUAGCCGUUAAUGUGACAGUGAAAACUGAAGCCAAAAAGCUUUUUUUUAUGGGAAAUGGAAAUUGUAGGGUCCCAGGCGUUAGUUUCUGUCUAAAUAAUUUCAUUUCAUCGAACGUCUGAUCCACGUAUUGAAGUCCAACUAAAUUUAGAUUGAAGGUAAAAUAUUUUUUAAUAAAAGUGAUUUCAUACUUUGGAUCAUUGAAGUUUAUUACGAAAGUAACUUCGUAUCAAGUAAGACUCAAACUCAAAAUUUAUGACUAAAAUGAAAAAGUACUUAUCACUUUAUUGCGACUUAUUAAUAUAAAUAUAUAUUUUACGUGGGAAAGGAAAUUAGGACCAAUAUUUUAUGUGUUAAUUUAGGUGAGAAGUGCUUUUACUGCUAUUUGGGAAUUGGUUGGUCCAAUUAACAAACCACGUCGGAUUUUAGGGAAAUAAGCAAUACUUUGACCAGCUAUGUGGUCCUCUGUUGUGUCUUAUUAUAUUGUGAUAAUUUGUCUUAAAUAUAUUUAAAAAAAUAUUAUAGGUGAACAAUAGUUGAAGGUAAAUUUAGCUCUUCGUAAAUAUAUUCGGACAUGUGCACUACUCAUAUUGAUACUAGAAGCUCAUAUUCAAAUUUAGUGAUCAAAUCUCAAUGCAAUAUGAGUAUUAAAAUCAUGGUGUUCGAAUUAACAUUUAAACUAAUUUUAUGAAAUAUCUGUCCCUGUAAUCCACAUUAUCUCAAUUAAUUUUACGAGAUAUUUGUUACCUUCGAUCCGUGCACAUAUAUAUAUAUCAUCGAGGAGUAAGGCUGGAACGAAACCAAGUCUUGUGAAUUUCUGACUCAACGUAAAUUAUGAGUCUUCAGAACAGUGUCUAUAUAACAUCAGAAAGUACUUGACUGAAAUGAUGGGUCAGUGUCAGAUAUAAAAUUUACAUCGCUGUAAUUUUAACCUAUGGUGAAUAUCAUUAUUUAUUGCAUAGUAUUUACUACCCCUUUUCAUAAAAAGUCAUCACUUGUUUGUCAUUUAGAGUCAGGUUCUUUAUCCAAGUACAAAAGAUAAUUAAAUUGUUAUAUACAUACAUACACUACAAUAAAUAAGUAUAUAGUAAAAUACUUGAUAUUUGUGAUUGGUUACUUGGGUACUUGAUAUACAUACAUACACUACAAUAAAUAAGUAUAUAGUACCACUAUUAUUUUACGGUUUUUAUAGUUAUAUAUAUACACUUUGAUAUUCAUAAAAAGGAGUAUACAUGAAAGUUCCAAGAAUCAACUAGCUUAACGGUCGAAAAUAAUGGCAUACUGGAAUUAUGGAUUGCUUUGCUGGUGAUGUUAAAUAGAAUAUAAUCCAUGUACCAUGUGGAUACAUAUAGUAGCAUCACGUAUCAUUAUAAAAUAAGAUAAAUUCAUUGUAACAUCACGAACAAUGGAACUUCUAUCUCGUUUAUUUGGUAAAAGCAAAUUCAAAAUUUCUUUUAUUCGAACUAUCUCCAAUAUACUCGAUGAGAGUUGUUUGGCAAUUAUGUCCAUGAUAUGGGUUGUAUGAUAGUUAUUUAUAUCAGUUGCUUAUCAAGUGUCUUGAUUUAAAUACUUUUGACCAUGUCAUUAUUGAAGAGAUUAUUUUUGUCUGAUUCACUUUAACAAUUUUAGUUUUUCGACGAGACAAUCACAUCAUUCAAUACAUCACCACAAGUAAAGCAACACCCAAAUGGGUAAUUACAUAGUUUGUGUUUAAAGUAGCUUCAUAAUUGAGCCUUCAAGCUUCAACAUGAUUACUUCUGAAACGAAGUAUAUCAGUGUAAUGACCCUCCUGGUCAUUUCUGUGUCUUGACUUCUGUGUAUCGUUUAGAACAUUCCUGUAGCGACCCCAAGUCAUUUAUGACUUGCUGGGACUGACAGUUCGGUCACCUGGUCGUUCGUUUGGUUAUGAUGUGAGUUUUACUGUUUUGGAGCUUAUGAAUCUUGAACGAUCAUUUUCGAUCAAAAGUUCAAGAAGAUGACAUCGAAAUUCAAUUCUGACAAUUCCAUCAGCUCCGGAAGGGUCAUUUUAGGCUAGUAGCAUGGUCGACAUGACUCCCGAGGUUUUCAGUGUGAGUCGGUGCGAUUAGGCGUUUUAACUUUAAGUUUAAGCCUAAGUUUGACUUUGGUCAACAUUUUGAGUAAACGCACUCGGAUGAGAAUUCUGUCAGCGCGGUAAGCUCCGGAAUGUCAAGUUUGGUAUAGGUUGACCUUUCUUUUGUGUCUCGAAGUUUUUGAUAUUUUUCGGAUCUCUUUUGUAGUUUUUGACUUAAAAUGACAUUUGGAUGUGGGACCCACUUUUUGUCAAGAUGACCUCGUAUGAAAAUUUUGACUGUGCCAUUGAGUCCGGAAUAUCAAAUUUAGUAUGGCUGCAUAUCUCGUUUGCGUGCACGGGGUUCCGAACGAGUUUGGAGCACCCCGUCGUAGUUUUUUUAGUUUUGGAAAUUAUUGCAGAAAAUCAGCAACAUUUCCCAAACUUCAAACCCUCAUAACUCUCUCAUCUUUCAUCCGAAUUAGGCGAUUCAAAGUGCGGGAGCUUCGUAUUUUUGGUGGCUUCACUGUAGAGUGUUUGGAAGUUGUCGGGUGCACGUAGUUCGAGGUAAAUUUCGCAAUAACCUGACUGCUGUACCCCUUUUUCGAGCCCUUGUUUUUGGCAUUCUUGUUUUGGUCAUAUCUCACUCAUUUUAGCUCGGUUUUGAGUGAUUCGAAGUCCCACGUGUUGAGAAUUGUCUUGGCUUCGUUGUAGAAUGUUCAAAGAGUGCUGGGCACUUUUUGAUUCUCUUUAAUUUCAAGUUUAGACUGCUGCAAUGUUUUCUUUUAAGUUGAUUAAAGUGUGGUUUUCUUGCUUGUUGGGUGUUGAUGCGUUUUAAUCCCCGAAUUGUGUUCCAUUUUGGAAUACAAGUUUGGGGUGCUGUUUAGGGUGUCUUGACGGAGUCAAAUUCAGACAGUUCGGUGCGGGUCCCACGAUUCUCAUUUUGACUCCAAAAUUGACUCGUCUCCGUUUGUUGUGAUUUUGGUGUCUAAACGACCGUAAUAACGUCGUGACUCUAUUUUUGAUAGCGGGGCAGAGUUUCGAGGACGUUCGAAAAGGAAAAGCUCUGGAGAAGUGAUUUUGGAGCGCGUGUGAUCGGCCUACAGGUAGGCUAUGGUUUCCCUCUCUUAGAUUGAGCUUGAGAGUGUGAAUGCAUGUUGAUUAGUUGGGGUUUGGGUUGGUAGUGAAUCAUGCAUAGGUGUUUAGAAAUCAUGUUUUCGGCCUAUUUCGAGAAUUAUCGGGGUAACUGUGAGCAUUGCUUUUGUGUUAUUAAUUGACCCUCCUUGCUAUGUGGAGUGCUUGCAUGCUUAAUUAUUGUUUAUUUGAAGCAUGUUGGACCUUAGUUUAGGUUUGACUAGGGCUUGCCUUAGAAAUACAUGAUUCGGAUCCAAUAGGCCUUAGUUUUACCCCGACGUCACUUGACUGGCUUAGAUCCCUGUAGACUGGUGUAGCAGACUUGAGUCUGAUAGUUUGGGCCUUAGUUAGGCGAUACUCUUUCUCCGACUAUAGUUAUCCUUAUUUUCCCCGAUGUUACGGCUUCACGAGUUACAUCAGCAACACUAGUUCUACUUCGCGAUUUGAAUUUGAUUUUUGAUUCGGUUCCAAGGACUUACAUUGAUUGGCCAAGUAUGGACGGCGUUCCAUGGACAUUUAUGAGUGUGGAUCGAUUAGGACUCUUUCAGCAGCUACAUUGGCGCCUUUAUAGAGCAUCCGGUUAGAGUUCCGGCCUCAGAUACUUGUAAGUAUAUAGUACCACUAUUAUUUUACGGUUUUUAUAGUUAUAUAUAUACAUUUUGAUAUUCAUAAAAAGGAGUAUACAUGAAAGUUCCAAGAAUCAACUAGCUUAACGGUCGAAAAUAAUGGCAUACUGGAAUUAUGGAUUGCUUUGCUGGUGAUGUUAAAUAGAAUAUAAUCCAUGUACCAUGUGGAUACAUAUAGUAGCAUCACGUAUCAUUAUAAAAUAAGAUAAAUUCAUUGUAACAUCACGAACAAUGGAACUUCUAUCUCGUUUAUUUGGUAAAAGCAAAUUCAAAAUUUCUUUUAUUCGAACUAUCUCCAAUAUACUCGAUGAGAGUCGUUUGGCAAUUAUGUCCAUGAUAUGGGUUGUAUGAUAGUUAUUUAUAUCAGUUGCUUAUCAAGUGUCUUGAUUUAAAUACUUUUGACCAUGUCAUUAUUGAAGAGAUUAUUUUUGUCUGAUUCACUUUAACAAUUUUAGUUUUUCGACGAGACAAUAACACCAUUCAAUACAUCACCACAAGUAAAGCAACACCCAAAUGGGUAAUUACAUUAGUUUGUGUUAAAAGUAGCUUCAUAAUUGGGCCUUCAAGCUUCAACAUGAUUACUUCUGAAACGAAGUAUAUCAGGCAUGUGAAUCCAUGAUCUCUAAAUAAAAUUAAGUAUAUUAUGUAUAUAUUUUUGGAAAUUUUAGUAAUGCAUCCAUAUUUUAAAAUUCUAGAUUAGCCUUUGCUAACCGAUGAAACUAGCAACAUCACAUGGAACCAAUCGACGGACAUUCAAGUGUGUCUUAUAGUUUAUGUUAAUGAUCACUGGUCAUUUGAAUUUUGAUCUCAUUUUCUCUAACAAUGGGAGUACAUGUGUCUCCCCUAAAGGCCAACAUAAACCAAAAAAUAAAAAAUAAUAAUAUGUCCUCUAGACAUUGAUCUUGCCACUAAAAUUAAAACUCACUCCUGGUUUAAAUACCAUUAGGGAUAUAAGCCAUGUUUCAUGUUUUCAAGAAGGUAAAAUAUGUUUCCGAAACUAUGGUCAAACACAACUUCAUAUCAAGUCAAAACUAGACAAACAGAUUGUAUACGAAAGGAGUAGUUCUUUUGAAAUCAGGAAGCAGAUAAAAAGUUUUUUGUCCAUCUUUUUAAUACAAUCAACUUGUGUCGCCUAAAUUAUUCAGACAGCAGAAGAGUAAAAUAUCAUCCAAAGCUGAUACCAAGUAGCAGAAGUCAAUAGGUAUAAAAUGGCAAAGAUAUCCCAGAAACAAAUGAAAGCUUAAAAGUAAAGUCAAUAUAAAUUAAUACAGGGAACAUUUUACAGCAAUCCAAUUAUUGUCUUUCAAAAAUAUCGGAAAAGUUUGAUAUCUUUAUUGAGGGAAUUCUUCUAGCCAAGCAAUCAAAUACAUAAUCACGGAGGCCAAAACUAAACAAAAUGUAAUUCAACAGCCAAACUAGCUCAUCGAACGAGGAAGAACACAAAGAUACUUCACAAUUAUGGAACAGGUGACACUUUUUCUCUACUCUGCUCUAGAUUGACCAGCGCGAGAAGAAAGGAUGAUACCGACAAUAAGGCCGUAAAGAGCCAAGGCUUCAGCAAAAAUAAGGAUCAGAAUCAUUCCAACAAAAAGCUUUGGCUGCUGUGCAUUAGCUCUGAAAACAACAGAAACAAAGAAAUGCACCAUUAAUUGGUCUGUUCUCUCACCUAAAGUGAGGAAACCUUCUUCUGAGUAAAGCAUAAAUGAAGUUAGCAGAACUAUAUGAAUGCUACAUAAGAAAAGGGAAUAUGAUACACAAGGAGGCCUAAUGAAAGAGCAGUGAAGUUGUGACUAUCAACCCCUACAUUAGUUAACCAACAAAGCCAACAACAUGAGACUGCAACUGUAUAUAUACUCAGUUAAGCCACCAAGGUGUAAAAGUCUGAUAGCUAAGCAUACGAUUUUAAACUUGAUGGAUACUUACCUACAUCUAUAACCCUCUCCACUUAAAUAUAAAUCUAGUGGCAGGAUUUGAACCCGUGUCAUGCGCCUAACACAUACAUCAUGCAUUGCACUCUUACCACUACACCAAGGCUGCCCUGGAAGUUCUCUUGAGACUAACAAAGGAAAAAGAAUCUUUAAAGGUGAAUUAUAUCUCCAAUUUCCCGUUCCAACCCCAACAUGCAGAAUUGCUGUAUCCCAAAGUUCAGUCCAACCCCAACAUGCAGAAUUGCUAUAGCCCAAAGUUAUUAACCACCACUCUCCAGUGUCCCCUCUUCCCCCUCUUUUGCACCUUCCCCUAUAUACACCAAUCAGUCAUAAAGAACAAUUCAAUAGUCCUAAAACAGAAUCAAUCACCCAGGAUCUAUUUAUUCACUAAAGGCCAUCUAUUAUUUUUAUCAGAGUCAACCACAUGCAAGUAAAGAUCGAGUUGCAAUGAGACCCAAGUUUAAAGGAGAAAGAAACAACCCACAAUAUUUGGUAUCCUGAUAUCUCUCUGCCAAAUACACAAUUCACCAUUACUCAUUUAAGACAAAUCAUGAAAAUCCUAAAAAAGAGUGAUCUUUUUUAAUAAAGGACAACCAAUAAAAGAGUGAGCUUUUAUAAAGGACAACCAAUAAAAGAGUGAUCUUUUAAAUAAAGGACAACCAAUAAAAGCUAGGCUAGUAAGUAAGUAAAUCCAGACAGAUCAUACAUAGAAAUGCCAAAAGGUAACAAAAAAUCUGCCAUAACUGAUUAAAGAUCCAAACCCACAUGCUCUUCACAUUUAUCGCAAUACCAGCAUAUAAUUAAACAUAAUCAACUAUGCAAUAUCAAAAAAAUACUCCUUUAUGAAUCUCCAUAUCAGUUCUGCCGAUGAUUAAACACAAUACAGAAAAUUAGCAGAAAUAGUAAAAUACCUAACACCAGCAUCACCAACGAUUCCGAUAGCCAUACCAGCAGAAAGACCAGCAAGACCACAAGCAAGACCAGAUGAAAGGUGAGCAUAUCCAUCAAAUAGAUAAUACGACUUAGUUUUCGGGUUAAUCCCAGUACUAAUAAUCACAGCAAUAAUUAACCCAUAAAUACCCAAAACUCCAGCCAUAACAACCGGAACAAUUGACUUCAUUACCAAUUCCGGCCUCAUUACACCCAUCGACGCUACUCCUACCCCACUCUUCGCUGUACCAUAAGCUGCACCCAUACCUAAAUUCACAAAAAACUAGAUUUAGAUUCAAAAAAAAAAAAUGAAAAAAUCAUAGCUUAGAUCUAAUGGAAAAAGAGUUACAGGAGAAGACUAAGGCAGCUGCAGCGCCGAGGAAGCCAAAAAACGGUGCCGUUUCAUCUCCACUAAACGUAGAAGCCAUUUUUAUCUUCUUCGAAUUGGGAAAUUGAAGUAAUUUGCGAUCUGAGUGUUUAUUGGAAUUGAUUGAUUGAUCUAAAAUGCUUCUGUUAAAUACAUUUGAGAUCGUCAACCUGAUCCAUCACUUGAGCUAUAAAUGGGCCUUAACCCGACUGUGAUUAAAGAAGUAUGUGUGGGCCUAAAGCCCAUCUUUGGAACAUGAAGUCGUAACUAUCCUGCGUAAAAAUUUGCAAGUUUAGCCAGUUCAGACAUACGGUGUCUAAAGUUCAGACAUUUACUUGUGAAAGAAUCCACGACAUCAAUAACAUAUCCAAUAUAAUCUCACAAAUACGGUGUGGAGAGAGUAGUGUGCACGCGAAGACCUUACUCUUAUCUCGUAGAGAUAGAGAGGUUGUUUUCGAUAGACCCCUGGCUUAACCCCCACCCCCACCCAAAAAAAAAGGAAACAAAUAGAAAAAAGAGAGAACGAAAAUGCAGUAAGAACACAACAAAAUAAACAACAACAACAACAAUAUACCUAGUGAAAUCUGAAAAAGAUUAAAUAUACCGAGAGUAAAAUUUAGCUUGGAAAUCCCAAACUUUUGUCAAAACUCGUAUGUUUUAACUUCGUGAAUUCUUCUAUUUCGUUUCACUAAUGGUAAUACCUCACCAUUUUAUCUCUAGUUUCGUUUCAUUUUGUUCAUAGUAGUACCUCCAUCCAUUUUAUCCAUGACCUCAAUUUAGUUUAAUUCAUUUUCACCCGUGAUUACAUUAUUUAUCCAUCAUGGUACGUCAUACAUUUCACGCUAAAUAAAACAGCAAUUCAAAUAAUUAAAAAAGUAGUGAAAUGAAAUUGUUAACCAACAUCCAGCAAAACUUUCAAAGAAAAAAAAGGAAUAGAAGCGAAGGAACAAUUGUCUUUAAGUAUGCAUACUCGACUCGUACUGCGUAUUUGUGCACGAAAUCUAAAACACUAAAAUGGCAUAUAGGUCGUACCAUAAAUUUUUUACACACAAGGCCACUGGGCAGACUACUUAACAAGAAGCACUGGCAUUUCAACUUCAGCGACCACGUUUAAGCCUCAUAAGGAACGGUUGCUUCUCAGCUGCAAUCUUCAACAUUGAUUACCAUAAUCAUAUGAUUAGUGUACGCUGUCAAAAUCAGAAAGACAAGGCACUGUUAAGCAUUUAAGCAACAUUAAACAAAGAUAAUAGGGGAAAAUAUCAGGGGAGGAAGGGAGAUAAAACCAUGAAAUCGGUAGAGGCAACUGCAAUGAUGAAUCAACAGCUGCAAAUCAUCAAUUAUCUUGUAACAGAAAUCUUACUGGCAAGCAAGUGCUUGUGCGCUGUGACAGUAAACAGGAACUAAAUGCACAUAGAAGAUCUUGUGUGCACUUCUCAGUAGAUCGAGGCAGACAACAGAUGUAGGAGGUGACGUUAUGAACUGCAGUGCUCUCCAGGGCACAAAUAAGCACAGAAAUCACAAUCAUGCAUCAACAAGUUACUACAUGCCAAGGGAAUUAUGUAAAAGCUGUUAUGUAUAUGACUUCCAUCCUAGCACAUUGAAAUCUGACAUUGAACUAAAUAAUGGAAGUGGAAAUAGUUACUUCUGCAAAGAGAAUCAGAACAAACAUAUUUGGCUAAUUAAAAGACUAUAAAGUCCACUACAAUUGGCCAGUAAAAUGAACAAUGAUCACUGGCCUAAAGAAUUUCAGGCUUCCUCUUUGUAUGGCUGCCUGACCUGAACAUCAGAUGACUUAUAUUUCCAUCUUUAUCUACUGCAUUGAACAUGAGGAAAAUGAGAGAUUUUGAUUGGACGUUAGCAAUCCGAUCAAGAACCUCUUCCCCAUUUCAACAUCAUUCUGCACUGAACAGCAUAGCUGAUAUUUUCAUCUGUAUCUACUGCCAGUAGUACACAUACUACCGGUACCGGUACUCCAUUCCAAGAUGUUCAAUAUGAUAAGUUAUAUGUUUCUGCAGAACUGUAUACGAUCAAAUUUCACCAACCUCAAACCGAGGGUAUACUACUAGCCUGAUGGAUAGACCCAUCUCCUUGAAAACUUAAGAGAAACAGAGUGAGACAAUAAGAGGAAAAAUGACCACAAUUUCUAAUUGGUAAUACCAAAAUAAAAGCAGGCCCUCAAAAGUAAAUAGGAAGGCAGAGUGAAAUCAAGAAAAGCAACCUGUAAGGACUGGAAAUAGCAAGUAGUCCAAAGAGAAGACUCUCCUCCUGCUGCGUCUCUCAGCUCUCAGCUAUAUGCUUAACCUGACAAUAAAGGAAAUAUAUAAGAUCAGAUAACGCAUGUGAGAAAUCAACAGAUUACUAGUGUUAUGCAUAAAAUUCUAUAGCAUGCAUCUUUUCAUCAAUUGCAAACUUCUAGUGCAGAAUGAAAAUGUCUUUGACAAACUUAUCCCUUGAAAGAAUGUGAGUACACGGGGCAACAAUCACCUCACUUUCAACAUAAAAAUGGCAUGUACUACCCAGAAAAUUCGCACACACCUUCAGAGAGAAUAAAGAUCAUUCCUCACUUGGGGGGGAUGGAGAAGGCGAUCUAGAAAACUCACUUAUGUACUCCCUUUGCUCCCUCUUCUUUUGGCCUUCUUCACUGGGUAGUGCAUAGGGAUUAAGAAACCUCAUGAACAAAGAUCAAGCCACUUGGACACAAUCGCCAAAAGCACACAUCUCAACAAUGUUCUCUUUGAUUGAGUGGAGCAGUCCACAGAUCAUAGAAAGAAAUUCAAUAUAGCAUAUCUAAGAGAUUUCAUCUACACUAUAAGAAAAAAAAUCUUUAAGAGGGGAGAUAGAAGGAGGGUUUUGUUUUUACUUAUUCUGAGAAAUCAAUAUUUCAAAAUGAAGGAAGCAUAUGACACCCUCAAAAUGUUCUGUGUAUUUGUUCCAAUGAUAACAAUCCUGAGCUGUACACAUACCAAAACUAAAGAAAAGUCAGAAGUGAUUGUUCAUCAAAGGGGAAUCCUGAACUGAAAGAAACAAAGGGCUACUUUUCUUCUAUAUAAUACAACUUCAAAUCUGACUACCAAUUCUAAACCUAAUCUUGCUAUCUCUGAAGGAAUUCACAUCAGUCAGCAGGAGUAGUAGUAUAACAUUCACAUGACAGACAUGUUUUCACCGACUUUGCCACCUUGAGAAUGUUUCUUGCAGACACACCGCAACAGAAAUGUCAAAAGUCUCAAAUUUGCAGGACAAUUAAUCAGUCUCUUACAAUAAACAGUCCAUGAUACGCUCAACAAAACAGUCUCUGAAGACAACAACUAGCUUGGCAAGGAUAAUUGUUCAAUGAAGCCUGCAUUCCUCACUCGUCGAUGAUUGUUGCACCCACUCAUGAAAAAGUUGAUGAGACUAAUCACCCUGCGGUAAAGCAUCAAUAAGAGUGACUGCUCAUCCUUUGUCCAUUAUGAUUUUGCACCCGGCUUCAUCUGAAUAUGCCUUUCAAUCAACUUGUCCACGAAAUCUCUAAUCUGCAGAUUUACCAAUACAACAAAUCAAAGGCAGAAAAGCAAUGAAAAGUGAAAAUAAAUACCAAGCAUAUUGAGCAAAUGCUAUAAAAAAAAAUACAAGUGUUUUUAGUCGGAGUAUAUCUCCAAACAGAUCCACA